This 84907-nucleotide long non-coding RNA is filed under the name Ananas comosus (pineapple). RNAcentral describes it as "long non-coding RNA (ACOM_LNC033969)". The stretch from base 31847 to 32007 matches the Rfam family "U1 spliceosomal RNA". The record is from RNAcentral. Lineage: Eukaryota; Viridiplantae; Streptophyta; Magnoliopsida; Poales; Bromeliaceae.
AAACACAAAGUACUAGCAGAAUUACGAAGAAUGUAGAGGGGAAUCACAGUACCAAGAAGAUCGGAAUGCGAAGUAUUUUGAGGGCGAGAGUGAUGUCGUAGAAAACUAGGGGACGGCCCUUGCCGGAUAAUUCGACCGGGUUUGCCACUAUAAGCUCCAUGUCGGGCCCUCGGCUCACGAUGGUCACGCGGAGUGGCCGGAACAGCUCCAUUCUCAAGCGAGAGCACAGCGCCUGUUGCUUGUUCGGGUCGACGAUUUUCUUACCAUCUACUUGCACUGCGAACAAGUCUAUCUCGCAGUUCCCAUUUUGACUGGUAUAGAAUCGUCCGUAAGAUAUCUGACAAAAAAAGAAAAAAGAAAAAAAAGAAAACCUGUAUCUGAAUUUGCCAAAAAUAAAAAAGAUAUCAGUAACUAAAUGGAUGAAAUGGCCAUGAUAAUCCUAUCUUUGUUUGGAUUUCACUUGGUACCUUCACUAUGGCCAAGUAAAUGUAUGUUCAUGCCGUGUGUAAUACGUGCUAAAUGUCUAUUUUGCAGGGUGUAUAUGCGAAAGAAAAUAAAAAUUCAUGUGAUGUCCUGUUUACCUGUAUGUUGUAAUCCUUGAGAGUCCUCAUGAUGUCGUAGAGGAUUCCCUUGUGGUCACCACACUGGAUCUGAAUAAGUGAAUGAGCGGGACUCAGAGAGUUGUCCAUCGUGACCGAUAUGUUCUUACACGUGGACGGAGACUCUUCCCUUCGGGAUUGUUCUUCAGGAAGCUCAAGUGAGAACAUCCGAUCAGUGAUCGACGGCGGUAAGGUAGAAGAAGCUUGAACGCAAGCAGACAUGUCUGCUCCGGCUUCUUCGAUCUCGCAACUCAUCAUCGAGCCCCCUAAAACAGUUCUCAGUUGAUUACAUGCCUCCUCCCUUUGGCUCUUCAUAUGAAGUUGCUCCCUGAAGCCAAUUUUGUAUUAUUAGCAUACGAUUAUCUAAGAGUUUGAUUAAUAAAUGGACUGUUGACACAGUACAGAGAAAUAAUUUUUCUACACUAAUCUUCGAUGUAGCAACUUAGCUGUUUAACACUUCUCCAAUGAAAUAACAAGGAAAAAGAAAUGGCAUUUAAUGUACGGCGGUUUAGAUUAACAGAACCAUGAGUUAUAUAAUCCUUAUUCUUAAAGUAAAUUCUAUAACCAUUAUUCAAUUGUUAGUGCAUCAGGGGGUCCUCAACCUUAAACAACAGUUUAAUUUUGGUACUCAACCUUUAAGUUGCUACAUUGUGGUUCCUCACCUUCAUAUAUCCUCUCACAAUCUUAGUACUUCAGGUAAAAUUUUCUCUUCAAAUGGAGGAGAUCUCCGCAAGAGCUAUAUGUAACUGCCCUAAGGCAACUUUCAUAUUCACAAAAAAGAUAAGGUAAUAAUAGAAUGCAAAAGGUUAAAAGGAUCAAAUCGCAGCAAUUUAAAGGUUGAAUAGCCAAUCUGAAACCACGCUAAGAGGUCGAGAUCCCCUAGUCCAAUUGAGGCAAAGAGAAAAAUGUUAUCCACAUGUAGAAAAACAGGACAAAAUUAAACAAGGAUAAUAUACGACCUCGUGUCUGUAAUGAAGAAGAGGUCGAGAACUCGCCCAUCCGGUGUGGUGGACACCUUCACCCUCCUGAUUGUCAGCUCAAGCUCACAUAAUACUUGGGUCACAUCUGUCCACAAGCAUAUAAUUCCUUAAAUAUCUUCUUAUUAUGUGACUUCUUCUUUCUCUUCAAAAGAGGCUAAAAAAAAAAAAAAAAAAAAAAAAAAUCGCAUUCGAAACCUAGCAAUAAUAUAGAAAGAGACCUUCAACAGAGGUAACCAAACUUUAGGAACUAGUCAACACUACAGAUCUUAAGAACCCAGUAACAUCCAAUUGAAAUUGUUGCUUCUCAAUCUGAAAUUUGCUAAUUUUGUUAGAUAUCAUAACAGAAAAAAAAACACCCCCCUCUAAACUAAAGAAAAGAAGUUGAUAUACUUUGUUUUCCCCAUUACAGUAUAUAUUCAAAACCCAUAAAGGGAUAAGCUCAAAUGCUCCAAAAUCCAACAACAAAAAAAGGACCCAAAAAAGAGAGAAACAAAAUCCUAAAGAGAAAGAUGGGAAAAAAAAGUAUAUCAACUUCUUUUCUUUANAAAAAAAAAUAGAGGAAAUUUACCAUGCAAGAGAUCCAAUCGAUCAUAGCAUGAGAACUUGAGGAGAAACACCUGUGGUUGUUGCACCAUGGACACCAUCUCCGGUUGCCUUGAGAAGUAGGUUUCUAUCACCAGGGGUGAGCUCACCACGGGGCAAACCCCCAUGAGCCUCUUCUUAAGCAAACCCCACCUCGUCUCCUUCCCUCCUCUCCCCACAACCCAGAACACUAUGAAACACCACUUCCCAUCCGUGCUCAUAUCUACACGAAAUAAAAGGGGGUGGGGGAAAAAAAAAAUCUAAUUUUUAGUGAGAAAAUUGAAACUUGUGGUAAGAUUAUUUAUCAAAGUUUCCAAUCACACCAAUCUUUUGAUAAUACGGUAUCAUCGCCAAUCCGCAACUAAAAGAUCGAUACGAUGAAAACGACUCUCACGUACUGUAUUAUCCAAAAUAAUCUGAUAAAAACAGUUUAAAAAAUAGCUUUUUUUGGGGUAACAAUUUGCAGGGAUUUCGAACUGGGCAUCACAUUUUAGACACAAAGAAGGAAAUUUUAACACAAAUUGGGGACAAAGACGCAAACUUUGACACCAAAAAUCACAUCAAAAAUCAAAAUUUUUAAUUCGGAGGGAAAAGGAGGGGGGGGAAAUGGGUUCACCUCCACGGACGAUGCUCAAUCCGAAGAGGAGGAUCACACGGCAGAGAUCGCAUCCGAGCCCCGUCUUAUCGGGGCAACUAACGGUGAUCACGCUGGGCUCCCCGUCCCUCUCCGGCUCCCUGAUCAGCACCACGUCGUCGCUCGGCAUACCCAUCUCAUCAAUCCCCUCUCUCCUCCUCCUCCUCCUCCUCCUCCUCCUCCUCUUACGGCUUUUGAAGCUGCUUCUGUGCGCAGCGCUUUUGGGUUUCGCCCCCUGUUUUGUUUUGACGCGUUUCUCUCUCUCUCUCUCUCUCACUCUCUCUCCUCCUAUGGGGUGGGAGAGGAGGCUUUUGAUUCUAGUGGUGGGAUUUGGCGUGAGAUUCGAAUAUAUCCAUUAAAGAGCUCGGAGAAAACUAUGGAUCGAGAGAGAGAGAGAUAGAGAGAGAGAUGGGGAGGGGAAUCAGGGGAAGGUGCCGCAUAGAGAUCUCUCUGCGUUCGCUUUUGUCCUUAGCUGUUGUUUUCUAUCCGCUGUUUGCUAUACUCACCCCGGAUUUUUUUUUUUUUUUUUUGCUAAUUUCAUACAAGUCCUGCAAACAUAAUAAAUUACAAAUAUAUUCAUAUAAAGUUUAAUUUUUAUAUGUUAUUCCUAUAAAAAUUCUGAUGUUUUCAAAUAUAUCCCUUUGGUUUGUUACUGUUAGAAAACUAUUAGAAACUGUUUAUAUUUUCAAUUUUAUCAUUAUAAAUAUAUUUAUUCAAAAGUUAUAACAGUAUAAUAUAAAAAAAUAAAAUGUCAAAAUAAACCAGCAUUAAUACUUAAUCUAUAGUUAACUAAAUUUUUCUAAUGAAUUCUAACGGCAAUGACAUAUUUGAAAACAUCAAAACUUUUGUAGAGACAACAUAUGAAAGUUGAACUUUAUAGAAAUAUAUUUGUCAUUCACUAUAUUUGCAGGAACUUGUAUAAAAUUAACCUUUUUUUAAAAAAAAUUUCGCUUCUUCUUCUCAAUGUGCCAUUUAACUUUUGUCUCAACUAACUUAUUAGUAUAUAAAUUUUCCACUAAUUUUAAUUUUAUAUUCUAUCGCUAUCUUGAAUAAUUUUAAAAUAUCAAAAUGAGAACUAAAAAUUAAUGUGAAAUCUUACAAAAAUAGGAUCAAUAAACUAUCAAUUUAGAUAGUUCUAAUAAGAAAUACAAGUUUUUUAUUUUAUUUUCAAUUUAUUGUGUAAUUUAGGACUAUGAAAAAUGCUUUUAUAUAGAACUAGCAUAACAUUUCAAACUUAUCCAUAUGAAUUUUCAAGUGAAUUCAAUAAUUAUUCUUAAAUUUUGUAUUAUAUUAAAAUAGAGCAGAAUAAAAAUUGAUAUAAUUUUUUAUGCAAGAUAUAAUUUAUACACAGAUUAAUAUACGAAAGAAAUUUUUGAAAUCAUGAACUAUAAGUCACAAUCAAAUGUUACAGCAAAAAAAUCUUUUUUAUCUAGAGAUUGCUUUUGAAAUUUUGAAGGACUUUAGCGUUUGACUAAAAGAGUAGAAAUAUAAAAUAAUAACAGUAAAAGGAACUUAUCAAUAUUGAUAGAACAAUUCUAUUUUAUUUAUAAUUUAUGAGUUUUUGUUAUAUUGACUAUUAGUACAAAAUGUAUAAGAUAUAUUUUUAUAAAAAAGAGUACCAAUCAUAAGUUCUUUAAAAUAAGUACUUAUAUGGAAACAUCUAAAUAGGCGAUGGAUUUAAAUAAUUUCGCCACCCCAUGAAUUGCUUUGUUAGCCUUAUUUAAUAAGCUUAUUUGUAAGGAGAGAUUUGCAUUUAAAUAAUAAUUUGUACAUCAAUAAGAAGUUAAAAUCGAUAAAUAAAAGAUUACAUAGAAAAUUAUAAUAAAUUGAAGCUUAGCUUAACAAUAAAAUAAACUAGAUAGUACUCUCAACAAAUAUUGCCAAAAAAUACAAGUUUAUUUUUUUAAGAAUUAGGAGUUGGGCCUCUAAAACCAAUUUUAUGUGAAAACUUUUGUCUCUCUCCAUCCCCACUCGUGUUUUUACUAGCAAAAAUUUCAAUUACAAAUAGUAAAUGAAAACAAAAAAAUUGAAAGAAAUAAAAUUUUGCCAUAUAACAAAACACUAUUUGAUCAUCAAAUUUUCCUCAACUUUUCAUUUUUUUUAUCUUCCAUUCUUUUAAUUUUUAAAAAUCCAUCAAAUCAAUAAAAAUUAUUAUAUAGUAAGAUUUUACGCCGAAAUAAUAAAUAUUAAUUGGUGCUGAUGCAAUAAUUUAUAUUGGAAUUAACAAAUCUUUUAACAUUAAAAACUAAAUUAAAAUAAAUAAUAAAUAUAAAAAUUUUAUUAUUUAAAAAAUUAAAAAUUGAAACGAAAUUAAGAAAAAUGGAUUAAAGAUUAAUUAAUUAAUUAACUCAUCACACAGUGGAAAAAAAAAGGGAAAUUUUGGUGGGUAAGAAUAUCAUACUUGUUUAGAAAAUUAAAUACAAAGAGUAAGUGCUUCUAGAAGAGUUGGCACGUGACAGGUUGGCCCUUGACCACUUUUAGCUAAUCCCAAAAGCGCCAAUCCAACGAACUCCAAAUCGAACGGCUCUGAUUUCGUUUAGAGCACUAAGCGAGCGGUCCUGAUUAGUUCAUCAAUCGAGAGUCCACGUGGCGCGUAUCCGUGAUGUCCCAUUUGCGAGGUGAUUCGGAUCGAAGACCACUCCGACAUGUCGCUAUCAUUAAUUAUUACAUGCCCCCCUCAACUAUUUCACGUUCUGAAAAUGCGCCUUCAACUUUAUUUUUUUAAUUCGAAAAUAUACUUUUAAUUUUUUGAAUCAAAACAAUUAAUAAAUGAUAGCUAAUAAAGGUGAUGAAGAAAAUAAAAGUUUCGACUUAAUUAAUUAAAAUAAUUUAAUUUUAAAACUCACAGUUUGAACUUGCCUAUAAAAAAGGGUAAAUUUUAUUUCUAGUCUUUGGUCUUUAUUUUAUUUUAAUUUAUACAUUUUGAGGAUAUUUUAUGUUAAUCUUUAUUAUAAAGUAAAAAUUGCUUAUGGCAUCUCAUUUAUUGGUAUGUUUCAUGCACUUCAAAAUUUAUAAUUUUUUAAAUCUAUUAUAUAGUUUCACUUUAAUAGUAUAUUUUAUAUAUAGAGAGAGAGAAAAAAAAUUAUAAUUUAUUAGAUUGUAGAUUAAAAAUUAAAAGUCAAAAAAAUGUAUGUCGUAAAGAUAUACAGAUGCAGCCGGUGUAGAACUUGAAGUAAAAUUCUUUUUAAAAGUUUGGAGACGCAACAAUGUCAGAUUUUGAAAGUUUGAGGAUCUGAAACAAAACGUUAAGGGGGCUAUUUUAGAAUAGCAUAUGCUUGAGGGAUCUCAAUGCAUGUUUACCGUACUACAUCACGUAGAGGGCGUCAUCGCGCGCCACGUGUUUAUUUCGUCAUGGGCGCUCUUUUAUGUCCGAGCCGACCAGCUCCUAAUCACAUGCUACACUUUUCAUGUAUUUUAUUAUUAUUACUUGUUAUCAAUAAAGUUUCACUAAUCCAUUAUUAACUAUAUAAUAUUAUUUUAGUGCAUUAUUAACUCAGGUUUAUCCAGUGAAUAAUUACCUGAGGACUCGUGGUCAUUCUAAAACUUAAGUAGAACAGUAAAUAUAUAAAUUUUUGUUGGUAUUCGGUAGUUUUUAUUUAUAUGAUUUAGAUAUCUGGUAUUACUAUAUUAAUUUUUAUAUAAAAGAACUUUUCACCGGAUUCGCCGAAAUUUGAGCUUACCUUCAUAGUUUGAAUCUCAUUUUAAUUGGAUUUCCAUCGAAACUUAAUAGGCCGGAUUUAAUAAUUCUGAUAAUUAUUAUAUAUUUUAUAAGAAUCAGAUUUCAGUUCUUAUUUUAUUCUGUAAUAAAAAAAGACCUAAUUCAUUUAUGACUUCAUCAAGUUCUGAGUCAUGAACCAACUCACUUCAAAGUAAACAUCUCUCCCUCUUCAUGAUUGAUUGCUCUUCUUUCAUAACCAAAACUCUUAUAUCCAAAUUCUAAAUAUAACAUUUGUUUAUUCCAAUUUUUAUUUUAAUAAUAAAUUAAAUAUUUUUAAAUGAUUCGUCGUUUUACUUUUUUCAUUCUAAUAUAAUUUAAUUUAACUUUUUAUUUUCAUUCUAAUCAUGAAUCGGACGUGUUCUUAAAUUCUUCGGAAAAAAAAAGAAAAAAAAAAAAGCUACUUUCAUGUGAAUGCAUGUGGCUACGUUCUAUUCUUACUAAAUUAGCCGAAUAAAUAAUGAGCAAGAUCCCAAUAUUUAGCCGACCAAAACAAUUUAAUUAAAUGUUGAAUCUCUAGAGUGUUGUAGCUAGGAUCUCUAUCAACCUAAGACAAUUGGGGGUUUUUUUUUUUAAUUGUAUCAUAAUUAGACAAAUCAGAAGAAUUUUCAACCUAAUGCAAGUUGGUGAUGGCAACUAACCCAAAUGGCCAAAGAUUGGGACAGGAGGCCUCCCAGUACUAGUGAUCCAUAAAUGUUACUGUCCUGCCAUCUUCUAUUGUCCAAAACUAAAGCUUCAAAAAAAAAAAAAAAAAAAAAAAAAAAAAAAAAAAAAAAAAAAAAAAAUCCUUCUAUGCUUGCUCUCAAAGAUUUUCUCCAAUAUUAUUAUUGUGUCAAUAGUCACAUGCGACAUACAUCCAAAUUAGCUGAUCAACUAUAUGUACACUUUGAUUUAAAUAUCACCAGUUCAUGAAUGAUACUUUCAGAAUCACAUAAAAAAAUAUGAAAAGGCUUAUUCUAAUACAUGAACAACUUAAUAAGUAAUACAUAUUUUUGUGCACUUAAAGAGUCUCAUAGGGAUAUAACAUAAGUAUUCUCUAAAUUAUUUUUUUCAAAAUAAAAUAAAUUAUUUUAUAUGUGAAAUGUAUUAUUUUAAAAAAUUUAUGACUGCGGAAGCUUCACAAUGGACUAAAAGUAAACUCCCAAAUUACAAUUUCAAAAAGAAUAAACUUUCCUGCCGCAAAAGUUAUUUUAUAUUAGAUAACUUAUCUAACGCCAAACUGGCUAAAAAUAUUUUUCGACUUGUAUUUGUGCAAAAGAAAUGCUUUGGAUCCGCUAGAAUUAAUGUCGAUCUUAUAAACUACAGAUAUGUUGACAAACGCAUAAAGCAUCUUUUUUGGAAAAACAUGUAUACAUACAUUUCUUUUGAAUAAGUUCAUAGAUUUCAAGUGGCAAAAAAAUUUGGUAGUUGAUAUUCGAAACUCAAGUUUUAAUCCUAAUUGAUUCACAUUUUCAGCUAAGUUUAUUUCUAAUAAAAAUAAACGAAGCGAAUAGUAUGCUACCUUUCUCUCUCUCAAAAAAAAAAAGAAAAAGUUCAUAGACUCCAAGAGCCAAAAAAUCACCCUAUACACAUAUAUAAAAAUUAUUUUUCUUCAAUCGUCUUACGACCCUAUUUAUAAAUUCACGGGCGGAGAUCGUUUCCCAAUAUCUUGGAUCAGUGUCUGUGGUAACAAUUACUAGGCUAGUCGGCAAUUCUUUAGUUUAACUUAUAAGAGCAAUUACUAGGUUAGUCAACAACAUAUCGUACUUAGCGCAAGUGGCAAAGAGCUGGUGUUUGGUACCCGAGGUUCUAAGUUCGAAUCUUAAUUGAUUCACAUUUUCAACUAAGUUUAUUUCUAAAAUAAAAUAAGUGAAGCGGGUAGCAUGCUAUCAAUCUCUCAAAAUAAAAACUUAUAAGAGCAAUAUUUUAGAAAGACCGGUCAAUAAUUAAAGCACUCAGCAAGAAGAAGAGUUGCAUUGUGACAUUAGGAAUUAUUUGGAAGCAGAAAGCUAGAAAACAAAAAUUUUAUGGGUUUUACAAACUCAAUUUUAUCUCUUAGGCCAUAUUUGGAUGGAUAGUUAAAAAACUCCAUGAAAUUUUUAUUCUAUGAUUUUGGUUUAAAUGAAAUACGGAAUCCUAUAACUAUAAAAAAAUUCCACAGCUUCAUUUUUAAGCUUUUUGGAUACAUAUCAUAUAAUUCCACAGUAUUUAUAACAAUUUAAUUUCUAAAAUUUUAAAAUUUUAAAAUUCAAAAUUCAAAAUUCAAAAUUUAAAAUUUAAAAAUAAAAUUUAAAAAAUUAAAAUUCAAAAUUCAAAAUAUAAAAUUAAAAUUUAAAAUUUAAAAUUAAAAAAUUAAAUUAGAUUUUAUGUUUUAAAUUUGAAAUUUGAAAUUUGGAAUUUGAAAUUUCAAAUUUGAAAUUUGAAACUUUAAAAUUUAAAAUUUAAAGUAUACCAUUUAAACUUUAAAUUUUGAAAUUUAAAAAAUAUAUAAUUAAAAUUUUAAAUUUUAAAUUUAAUAAUUUAUAAAUUUACAUAUUUAUAAAUUUAAAAUUUAAAAUUUAAAAUUUAAGUUUAAAUUUAAAUUUUGAAAAUUAAAAAUUAAAAAUUAAAAUUAAAAUUAAAAUUUGAAAUUUGAAAUUUGAAAUUUGAACUUUUUGAAAUUUGAAAUUUGAAAGUUGAAAUUUGAAAGUUGAAAUUCGAAAUUCGAAAUUCGAAAUUCGAACUUUUCGAAAUUCGAAAUUUGAAAUUUGAAAUUCAAAAUUUGAAAUUUGAAAUUUAAAAUUUGAAAUUUGAACUUUUUAAAAUUUGAAAUUUAAAAUUUAAAAUUUAAAAUCAAAAUUAAAAUUAAAUUUUAAAAUUUUUAAAAUUUGAAAUUUAAAAUUUUAUGUUAAAAUUUAAAAUUUAAAAAUUGAUACAUCUUUAGGAGCCCAAAAGGUGGAUAUUUUUUUUUUUUGGUUAAAGUGGGUUGUAAGUUUAUUCUAUUUUUUGGAGUAUAGUAUAAUUAUACUCGUCAUUUUUUUUCUUCCAAACGCUUUAUAGGAUUAUUUUCCUACCGGCGUAACAUAGUUUAACUGUACUAUAUUUUUAAAGGUAUCCAAACGGGGCCUUAUUCUUAAAAAUGAAAAGGCGGAUCUUCGUAUAUUUAUAUGCGGGAGUUCGAAUAAUCUUACGAUUUCAGUAUCAAAGCAACUGUUGAUGCCCAGGAUCUUGUCGAUUUCACGAAUUGACCCCUUAGAUCCAAAAACACAAACAGACCCUACACAGUAAAUAAGACUAACUAAUUAUACGAUCUUACUAAUCUUAAUCCUUGGGAAUCUAAUCUAAUAAUAGUCUUUGGGUCAAUUUGUCUCCCAACGAUGUUCGCGCGGAUCUGCUGCAGAUCUUGGAGACAGGCACGUGCGAGGACGGCUGGGCGAGGAUUGUUACGUGUCCCUCCCCUCAAUCCUAUCCAUAUAUUUUGGUAUAAAAUAAUUAGAUGUUUAAUAAUAUCCAUUGUACCUAGAUUGCGAUGUGAAUAUUCUACGGCCCCUAUUUAUAGGCCCUAACACAUAUUCAAAGUUUUUUUAAAAAAACAAAUGUGUCGGUAGCGAACACGGGAAUAGAUUCUCUCAUGUUGAAGUACACAAUCCAAGCGCAACUUUUUUAUUCAGAGGAACUAAUUUAGAUCAAGAAAUUGAGUUAAACUAAGGCUUGGUUCUGGAAAUAUUGGCUCCAGGAAAAGUUUAGCUCUAGAUCAAUUUUAAUAGUUGUGGCAAUUGAAGAUCGAACUCUCAAUUUUGCAAAAUAAUAAAAGAAAUUAGAAAUAAUUCUAGUAUAAUUCUAGUAUAAUUCUGAUAUCAUAUUAUCAUUGAUGGUCUCUAAUACAAGUGAUAAAGAAUAUGAUAAUUGAUACACGAGGUUUCUAGUUCACAGCCUAAUUAUUUUUUAUUUUCAGCUAAGUCUAUUUAUUUUUUUUAAAAAAAUAAAACGGAUAGCAUGCUAACUUUUUCUAAAAAUAUAUAAUAUCAUGUUUUUUAAAACAUUAAUUUAGUAAAAAGCAAUAGAAAAAUAUAAAUGUUUACUAAUUACGUCGCAAAAUAGUGGAAAUUAGAGGAAGAGUAUACAUGAACAAAUGGGAGAAGCCCCUGCAGAUUUUAAAUCCUUUCAAUUUUACUUAAUUAGAUUCAUAAUUUAAGGGAAUUUUGAUUUGUCCGUAAUAAAAAAAAUGCUGUACAUAUAUAUAUAUAUAUAGAAGAAGUGAAUUCACCAUAAUUAAUACUAAUAAUAAUGGAUAAAGCAUAAUGAAAAAUUAAAGGAUUACGUUGUCGACGUACACCAAUCAAAUUAAGCGUUACUUAAGUAGCAAAUUACCCCCCAUUUACCCCGUUGUUUAACACCGAUCGACAAUGGUACAAGAUCGGAAAGAGAAAGGAAACUUCGUGCACGAUGAAAACGAAAGAAGAGAAGAGAAAAGCACUUCCUAAAAAGCACUUCUAAUUAAUUAGAUUUAAUUAAGAAGAAUGGUAGUGAACAUUGUUUUCGGUUGGUGUUAGUAUUUUAAUUUAGCCAUUUGGACUUUAAAGGCAAGCAAAGCUUAUUUAGGAUGUAGCUUUAGCUUUUUUAGGUUUUGCUUUGGCUUCAGCUUUUCGCAUAAGUUAAGCAGUUUGAGUGGAAGUAGGGACAUGGUGUGGACUCUCCUCGUUGGUGGUCAUAUGGUGCAACACUCAUGUGAUUGAUGUUGAUGGAAACAUUAAGCUCGAGUGGAUAGGUUUCACUUCACUAGUGAGACAAAUGUUUUAUAAAAUAUAUAUAUAUAAAAUAAUCUGAAAUAACCAUCACUGUGUAGCAUUGAGGAGUUAAUUAUCUACGGUGCAAUUUUUAAGAUCAGCAGAUUCAAAUCUCUGCAUGUGCGUUAUGAUUCCUGAGAAUCUUAAGAAUUAGGAGCCUACGCACAACUUUUAAUACUGUUUACGUUUUCUUCUUUAGAGGGCACAGAGAAUUUGGGUUCUAAACAUUUCAUGAGUAUCAUAUGCCAAGCCCAAGGCCAAUUUGUUGGGCUUGUUUCGUAGGUUUGGAUUCUCACACUGAACAAGGCUCGGCCCGAUCCAACUACGCUUCUCGCAAUAAUUAAAUUGAUUUUUGAGUUCGGUGAACUCAAAUGAAUUAGAUUUGGAAUUAAAUUUUGUUAUUAGGAACAAAAUUGUGAUGGGAUUGAAUUUCUCUCUAUAGUAAGCACGAAAAUAAAACGAUUGAUCUUUCUUAUCUUUGGGAAACUAAACAAGAGUCAUUAUUUAUACAUUUUUUCUGUCAGUAAAAGCGAUUACAGGGUACAAAUUAAUUAAUAAGUACCAAAUCAAAUAAAAUGAAAAAAAGAAAAAAAAAUCUGAAUUAAGUGGCUCGAGUGUUGCCAAUUUUACGUCAGGUACGUAGAAUGAAUGCCAUGCAUGAUGCAUGCAUGUAAGUUGUAACGAAACCCAUAUUAAUUCGUUAGCUUUAUGAUUCUCAUUAAUUUAUGCAUGGACAAAUUAUUAUUAUUAUUAUUAUUAUUAUUAUUAUUAUUAUUAUCAUCAUCAUCAAAAUAAAAAAAAAAAAGGACACCAUGCAGAAAACUUUAAUCCGCUUCCACAGGGCGAUCCUACAAUCUCUCUCCACCCCUCUUAUCUCGUAUAAAAAAUGAAGCUCCUCAUAUUUCCGUUUCCUUUCUCUCUUCUUAUUUUCUCUCUCAACCUUAAAUCUUCGCGUACAACUAUAUAAACAUAAAAAAAUAAUAAUAUAUUAAUAUUAUAGUAUAGAAAGGGGCCGGGGUUGAAGAUGGCGGGGGCGGCGGAGUUGUCGGCGGAGGUGAUGGAGAGGAUCUUCAAGCGGUUCGACGGGAACGGGGACGGAAAGAUAUCGUUGGCGGAGUUGGGGGAGGCGCUGAGCGCUCUGGGGUCGACGUCGGCCGACGAGAUCCAGCACAUGAUGGCCGAGAUCGACACCGACGGUGACGGAUACAUCGAUUUCGCCGAGUUCACCGCAUUUUGCCGCGCCAACUCCGGCCUCAUGAAGGACGUCGCCAAGGUCUUCUAAGCCUCUCCUUGAAUAGUGUGUCGUACGUUGCACCACAAAUUGUUACAUCUAUAUAUAAUUUUUUUUCAAAUUUUUUAUCUUAUUUUCUCUGCAUUUUUAAAAAAAAUGGUUGAAGAGAGUAACAUGAAUUGAAGGAACUAGUCAUAAACGUUAGAGUGAUGUGGAAAGUAUUCAGAGAUUCACCUUUUAUUAUUUGUUAUUAAUUAUUAAUUAUUAACUGUAUAAGUGACAAAAAUUGAUGUGAAAACAGAAAUAUAUAUUUGUCUUAUUUUAUAAUUUUAUUUACGUGGUAUGAAAUGUUGGGCCUGCCCAUGUCCAACCCGAAUUUGGUGGACUAAGCGGGCCCAACAUUUUCGUUCCGGAUCCGGGCAAAAUUGAUCCAUUAAUCCGUUUUGUAUUUGGGCUUUAUCCAAUUUGGGUUUAUUGGGUCAGAAAUACAGACAAUUUUAUAAGAAUAAAAUGAAUAUUUAAUUAGUUUCGAAAAUCUACUCUUCAUAGUUAUAUAUAUUUGGUUAUUAAACAAUAAUGUUUUUAUCACCACUGUCUAUUGCGGUUGGUCGGGACCCUGGGUCAUCGAUCAAGCAUUUGGGUUCGAUUUAAAAUCUUUAAGUAAGGUAUUAAUAUAUUCUCGAUUAAUUUUUGUAGAUUUUUUCAUCUCUCAAACAAUCUUAUCAACUGCAAAGGAAAAGAUAUAUUCAUAUAAACCAGCAGGUGCAAUAAUAUUUAAGCAUAUGCAUGACAAUUAAUAAUUUCCUCAUUCCAGUGAAUCAGAUUCAAAGGGAGCCACCACAAGGCCAUAACCCCAAAUGGGUACGGGUCCAUAUAUUGCUGGAUCCCAACUUGACUAAACAAGCCCUUGCCACAAAAUGGUCCUGUUAAAAUGUUACCCACCAAGGGGUUGGUAUCAUUCUCCCAGUUGAACACUUUGGAGAGAGAGAUCUUUGAUGAGGACCAACAAGGAAUCUUAGCUUGAGAUGGGACUUUAACCCCAACAAGUGGAAUCAAAACUUAUUGCCCAAAUCUGGUGUACAUGUACAAAGUAUAUUUCAUGCACCACACCCUUAAUUAAGAUCCUAUACUAAAUGCCUCAAGAAUCAAACUUAUAAUCUAGUUCAUUGAAUCGUAUUGUUGGUCAUUGUAGAUAUUUUAGAUCACAUCUAUGAGAUUAAAUUACAAAUUAUCCGUGGUGCACGCACCAAAUGUAAGCAAUAAUUUCUCCAUGUAGAUAGAUUCUAGAUGCAAUAUGAUCUUUCCUCUCUCUCUCUCUCUCUCUCUCUCUCUUUCUCAUCAAUCCCCUCUAUUGCGAUAUACCAACUUUUUCUAUCACUUGGUGAGUUGGUGGUGGGGAGAAAUGGAUGGAUAUCAUGUGUAGCAUAUAUAUCCCUUUGCGGGACAAAAAUAAAGGUCGAAGCACUACAGUGGCUUUUGUGAUCAAGUGUGUGGUCACUUUAAUUGCUACGACCUUUGACCCUUGGGCUUAUGAUUUGAAGGCGUUUGGACGCACGAGGGGAACGUAACUUGGUUGGGUUCAAUUAAUGGGCGUGGAAAAGGAAUGGUCCAAGGAAUCGUAGUUGGUUUGUUAUACGUAACUUGGACUAUUUCGUAGUGUUGUCUCCUGAAGAGUGAUGUGAAUGGAAGCAACUUGAGCAUCGGUUGGUUAUGUAUUUCUAUGAGAUUAUGGUAGUUUCUUUCUCUCAAUUAUUCGUAUGGUAUACGUGCUCUAAAAGGUUAGGAUGGAGCGCGCACGAUGGAGCCACGAGAGGGAUUGUUGCUUAAUCUAACAAAAAAUUAUGAUAUGACAAGGGUAAGGUUUCACGUGAAAAGUUUAAAUUCAGUCCCUUGUUUGAUUUGGACAUCACAUUAUCAAAGUAUCACGCGGAAUCCCAUUACCUGAUGCUUUCUUCAGAUACAUGAAGUUUUGGGCUACCGUAAGACAAUUUUUUUUUUAAUUCUUCAUUCAAAAAAAGCAGAAAAAAGAAGAAGUCCCAACCAAGGGAUUAGUCUCAUAGUGAUGAGCUGCGUCGUUACCGGAUUUCUCUUUUUAGCAACUUAAUGGAGACAGCGCGCCAACCACUACAUAAAUAUAGCAUGGUAAUAGAUAUUCGAAUAGCGGAUCUUGAUGUCAUGAGUCUAAGCCACUACAUGUGCUUCUCAUUAGAGACUCUGUGUCCUUGACUUCAGAAUCUAAAUAUAUGGACUCUUAAUUAGGAUAGAGUUGCAACUGCAAGUAUAUAUAUAUAUAUAUAGUUUGGUUACUAUACUCUUAUGAGUAUAAAUCAAUUUGUACUCAUAAUUUUUCGAUCGUUAGAUCUACUCUUUUGAUUAUUUCUACUUGUUAGAUUAUACUAUUCAACCAACUACCCACUCAAUUCUAGACAAUUACUAUCAUCCUAACCGCACGUCCCUUCAUCCAACAAUUAAAAAUUUAUGAGUACAAAAAAGUCUAUAUACUUAUAAAGUAUAGUAACCCUAGUCUAUAUAUAACUUUUUACUUCAAUUUUGAGUGAUAGAACGGAUCUUAAGUACUUCUUUCUUCCUGCAACCAGUUGAUCAACCUGUUCAACAGGUUAUAAUUAAUUUGUGCAUGUUUGUUUAGUAUCAGGCCCUAAGAUAAAUAAGGCCAAACUUGCUUCACGGCGGGUUCAUCUGUUUGAUUGGCUAGUCCACUACAAUCAAUUCAGCUUAAAAUUACAAAUUGUAUAUUACUUUACAUUUUUUUUGGAGAAAGAAAGAUAACAUGUUACCCGCUUCGUCUAUUUUUUAAAAAUAAAUUUAGUUAAAAAUAUAAAUCAAGUAGAAUUCGAACUUAGAAUCUCAGAUACCAACUACCAAACUCUUUGUAACUUAUUUUUUUUUUAUAUUUAUCCAUUUGUACACCCAACGGAAGCGUAUAUACACAUAUGUAUGUAUGUUUAUAUGUAUGUACAAUGUACAGCAUGGCGCGCGGUGAUAUAUUUUAGAUGUAAACUAACAAGAAUCAUCGAAUAUUGUGAUCAGUACACGAUAGCUAAAUACUGAUCAUAUAGUAGCAUCAUCACCCAUGCAUCCUUUAGACCUUGAAGUGAGAGGCGCAGUACAUUGACGCGGCAACCACUGUCCCCUUCUAAGCCGAUGCAAUAAUAAAUGGCCAAAAUGAGCUGGUCGAUUGAUCGUAGAGUACCGAGCAAACACGCAUGGUUUGUGUACGUUCGCACUUAAUUUGCUGCGUUGUUUUGGAGCCACAUAUAUAUAUAUAUAUACACACACGCGCGCGCAGAUACGCCCAAGAGCACGAGACGUGCCUUUAACAUUUUCUGCAAUUACCGACUGUCUCUAACGCAAGAGAUCAUAAAAGACUUAAUAAUUAAUAACAGGUUGAGAUUUCAAAUUUAAAUUUUAAUUAAUUUAUUUUUUAAAAAAUAAAUUAAAUAAAUAAUAUGUUAUUUUUCUGUCUCAAAAAGAGAACCGAACAUUUCGGGAGAUUUAGUUUCCCACCGGGCUCAAACUGAGAGAGAGAGAGAGAGAGAGAGAGAGAGAGAGGAACAUGCACUGCUGUUGCUUUUUCAUGGAUGCAUGCGAGUAUGCGACACCCCCAUCGAACCUCCCUCUCCUCGGGAUCAAGCAUGCCGUGAGGGGACAGGGAUGAGGUCGCAUGCGGAGAUUUCAUGCACACCUGCCUACACCUUGUUCACCACUUCAUCCAAGAGUUUCACUCAAAUCACAAAAUAUUUGAGUGUAAAUUUUUGAGCCAUAUAAUAAUAAAGUAAAAAUAAGCCCGGAGGUAAAACUUCUUCUUGUAAUUAUUAUGGUUUAGAAUCUCAUUCUUUUGAUUUUCGUUGCAACAUAAGCUUCGAUUUUUCCCUCACCAAAUACUAGUGUUCAAAGAGGAUAGAAUUAGACGCACGACGAAAUAUGCAUACCCUCGGUAUCUUUUAGAUGCUACAGAUUAUAAGCAUCGGAUGAUUAAAAAUUUACAAGUUUUACGAUCUCCAUGAAAGAGUUUUGGAAAGAACAAUCUGCAGUGGACUAGGUGCAGGCAAUAGUUUCUUAGAAGAAUAAAAAGGGAGGGGUGAGAGAAGAAUCUGUUCUUGGCCUUGGCUGAAGAGCCGGCCAAGCAGAAAAGUGACCAAGGGAUCUACAGCCUGCAUCCUCUUUUCCCCACAUUGAGAUCUGCAUUUACAGCUACUUAAUUGUAUGGUAUCCUCUUAACAUAUGGUUGUUGACAAAAAAAAAUUUCUUCUUCUUUUUCACUUGGAUGUUUUGUAUAAAUUCGGCUACUUAAAUUUACUAGUAAAUUAGAACAGCCAAUAUACUCUUCAUAAAUAUAGAAAUUUUUGUUUUUUUUUUUUUAUAAAAUAAAUGCAUUGAAUCUGAUCGAUUCAUCGAAUCUAUACCUAAUCGAUCUAUGUGUAACAAUAUUUUUCUGUAAAUAACACAUAUUGGCUCUUAAGAACUAUGUAUUUGCACUCAAAUCGCCUCUUCAUCACUUCUACGUCACAAGGCAUUAUGAGAAUUUUGAUGUUAAGUUAUUGGGGGGAUUAAUCAAGCAUUAAAACCUCAACUUUAUUUCUUUCUCAAUCUUUUUAUUCUUUGAUUUCCAUAAUGAUGCAAGUGACGGAUCUUAUUGAUUCAAUAUUUGAUCCUUCGUUUUGGAGAAAUAUAUAUAUAUCUUUUUAGCUCCUCAUGGUAACAGUAUGAGGAACAUUCACGGCAUAAAGAAAAGCUAUAUACAUCCACAGAUAUUAAAAAAAAGGGGCAAUUGCCUAUAUACCCUUGAAAAGUUUCCGGUUUUUUUAUUUAUCCCUCUUAGAAGGCUAAUAUUGAAAAUACCCUUCUUAUGUUCCAAGUCUUUCUAAUAUACCCCUGGAGUUAAGUUCCGUCAGUUAGCUGCUGUUAUCUCUGAAAAAUUACCAUUUUGCCCAUUCCAAUAUACCCUCGUACCGUAACUCACUUAUCUUAUAUACCCUUCAUAUACAAAAUAUUUUUCUUAUUUGCUCUUUAAAUAUCAAUUAAUUAAUUAAGCACGUUGGGAGCGAGCAAAUGAACGGAUGAGAUUGAUCGCAGCUAAACCAAUCUUAGUGGCGCGAGCAAAUGAACGGAUGAGAUCGAUCGCAGCUAAACCAAUCUUAGUGGCUGGAGGCAUAGUUAGUUAAUUCGGAUUCGGCAAAAAUUCAGUACAGAUAUAAUUCGAAUAAAAUUCGUCUUUUAAUUUUUAAAUUCGUUGAAAAAUACGGCUAAAAAAUAGAUUCGACAGUUAUUCGAAUACGUAAUAUAUACGGGUAUUAUACGUUCACCAAUUAAAGAUUCCAGAUCAAAAAUUCGGCUAUAUAAUAAAUAUAUAAUAAUUAAUAUACUAUAUAUAUUAUUAUUAUAAUUUUUAUAUAUAUAUUAAAUAUAUAUAUUUAAAAUUAUAAUAAAUAUAUAUUAAUAAUAUAUAAGAGUUAUAUAUUUAAAAAUAUUAAUAAACUUAGAUUUGUGCAGAUCAAAGGACUAAUUUAUUCCAAUUAAUCUCAGAUAUUAACUAUUCCACCCUAAUUAACUCUCCCAAUUAACUCUUCCACCCUAAUUAACUCUUCCAAUUAACUCUUCCACCAUAAUUAACUCUCUCAAUUAACUCUCCCAAUUAACUCUCCCAAUUGACCCUCGUACAGCACCCCUCCUCGUCCCCUUCCUCCGGCACCGACAGCACCCACCUCGACCACCGUCGCCACUCCAAACCUCGAGGGUGGCGACCCAUGAGGCAAUAUUGGUGAUCGGAGCUGCUGUUCCCGACAGAGGCAGAGACGAAGAACGGGUUUCUCAGCAACGAAGAAGGCGUCCACGGCGAUGGUGUCGAGGUGGAAGGCACGAUGAUGCUACCGGUGGUGAGGGAGACGAUGUCGACCCACUCACAGCGAUGUCGAAUGUGACGAGAAGGAGGAGGAGGAGGACAACGAGAUCUGCACGAAUCGUUGCGGCCCUCUUGCUCCCGGCGCCGGCAAAGGCGGCGGCGGAGGAGGAGGACGAUGAGAGCGGCGACUCGCGGGCCUUUUUUUUGUGCGAAUGAGGCGAGGCUUCUUGGGGACGAAGGUGGAGGCGGAGGAGCCGGCGCCGAGGUUGGCGGUGGCGGUGGCGGUGAGCUGCUGGCGCUCGCGGCGGCGGGCGGCGGGCGGUGAGCGGCGGACUUGAUCGAGAGUAAUAAUGUUAAGUUGGAAGAGAAAGAAAGGAUAAUUUAAGGAAAUAGUUUAAUAAGAUAGGGGUAAAAUAGGUAUUUUAAUUAGGUUUUAACUCUGGAAUACAUUUAACUCAUGUUUAACCCGAGUUAGUUUAACAGGGGAUAACUGCGGGGGUAUUUUGGAAUAACGGUGGAACAUAUGAGGGGUAUUUUAGAAAGAAAAAAAAAAGUAGGGGUAAAUCGGAUAUAUUCAAACGCAUGAAGGGUAUAUUGGCAAUUAUCCCUAAAAAAAAAAAGGGACAGUCACAUGUUAGGCUUAACCCUAGCAUUGUACCAAGAGAUCAACAAAAAACAUUCCUCAUAUCUCUUAGUUGUCAUUCCGUUUUGCUAUUGAAUCCACUUUAGUGUUAAUUAUAUAAUAAAAUCUGACAAAAACCACUGUUACCACUAUUAAUCGACAUAGUAAAAUAAUUUGAUGUGACCAAGAUCCAUGUUAAUUAAUAACAGACGAAAAGAUAAGAAUCCGAUUGGGACCAUGCACCCCGAAUUGGCCUAAUCAACCACCAACAUGAACCAUCAGUGAUAGAGAUUAAUUAAAUCGGUCCCAAGAGGCUUUUAGAGACACAUCAACUCACUGUAUUAAGUGCUUUUGCUUAAUCAAAGAACCAAAAAACAAAAAAAAAAAAAGCAGUGUCCAAGAUGUGAAAAGCACAAGCACUGUAGCAUCAAAACCAUGUGAUAGCCCUCGAUCACUAAACAAUUACUUUCAUGUGGAUACAAAUGUAUAGACGUACGCUUAUUGGAAAGGUCCCAACACUUAACAUUAGACAAUAGAGAACACAAAAAAGAAAAGCUUUGGAAGGAAUGCUUUCAUGAACUAGCGUGGGACAGGAGGUGGUGGUGAUGUUAGUGGUCUUGCUUUGUGAAUAAUGUUAUAUGUAUCUAGCUUAUAAUGUUUCUCAUAAUUAACAUUGCUAAUUAAUGAAUCAACUUUUAACAAUUCAUUUGUAUAUAUAUAUAUAUAUUUAUAGAGUAAGUCUCGUGUACUUUCAAAAGUACAAAGAUCUCCGUGCUUGUAAGUUGUUUUCGAUGAUAGGAAAUCCGAUUCGACGAUCGGCUCCGUUAAAUAUAAUCUAUCUUAUUGGAACUAUUUAGAAACCAAAUUUUAUAACUUUUUGAUAUCAUUUACCAAGCGAUCAAAAUGUCUCAAAAAUGACGAUUUUAAUGGCCGAUGUGGCACGUUUUUAAGUUCAACGGUAUACAUAGAAGUAUCCAAAUUAGAUGAAAAUUUAAUAGAAAAUUCUACUUAACAUCAAUAGUAAGACCAAUACUUGCGAUUUGAAAUUUGAGUCCUUUAUCAUUGUUUUUUAUGAGAUUUUCAUUUUCAGCCGUUCAUUUUGAGGCUACUCGUUUACUAGACAAACGAAAUCAAAAAAUUAUGAAAUUUGGUUUCUAGGUAGUUCCAACAGUGUAGAUCAUGUCUAAUAGAACCGAUCGCCAAAUCGGAUGUCCCAUUAUUAAAAACAACUUACAAAUACGGAGGCUCCCGUACUUUCGAAAGCAUAAGAGCCUGGCUAUAUAUAUAUAUAUAUAUAUAUAUAAACUUAACUAAAAUAUAAAAUACUAUAGCUUCAAAUUGUAGAAUCUCGAAUGCCAGACCAUUAAAUUCUUAGUAUCUAUACUAAGUACGAUCGGAUUUUUUUGUUGCUAGUAUUUUUAUGGCAUAGAUGAUUUAUAUAGCAUUUCAAGCUGAACGUUUCAGUACGCGCUGACUAUAAAUAAUAUACAAUAAACUUUUUAAAAACUUUAUGUAUUUGAAAUUAUUAUGCAGUGCAUUUUACUCCUGCAUACCACCGCCCUAGAGCAAGUGGCUAAAAAGGCUUAUGUUGCUACCCAGACACAUAAGUGUCGUGACUGAUUGAUUCAUUUCCGUCGGCCUUAAGUUUAAUUUCUAAAUGAAAUAAACCGAAGCGGGGGUAGCGUGCUACUAUCCUUCUCAAAAAAAAAAUUCUCCUGCAUAAUCCCAUUGGCGUGCUAUUAAUUGGAUCACUAUUACUACAAUACAAUUUCAAACUCAAAUAAUUUAAGAACAAGCUUAUUGUUAUCGAAAAUCCGGUUCAAGUUAAAAAUUCUUAGUCUAAGAUAUAUUAUACUAUAUAUAUAUAUAUAUAUUAGCUUAUAAUUAUAUAUUUAUAAGUGUUGAAUUAAUCAAAGUUGUACAACUAGUUGGGAUAGAAAUUAAUAAGUGUGAUAAGUAUAUUGAUUAUCUUCUUUGGAUAUUUUGUAAAUGAUGGUUGUCGCGAUAGAGGCGAGCAACUUGUCCUUUAAAGGAGAAGAGGUUCGGCACCUGAAAACGCCUGAGUGAGAAUUAGAGGAGAUAUAUAUUUUUUUUUAAAAAAAAAGAAAUAAAAAGAAAAAGAGUAAAUAAAGAAGAGCGGCCACGCUUGAAAAGGAUGCUUUAUUUUUUGGGGAGUGGAAGAGCAGUGGAAACAUUAGAUUAAAAAAUAUAACAUAUAUAUAUAUAUAUAUAUAUAUAUAUAUAUAUAUAUAUAUAUAUAUAUAAUAUAUGGAGAGGUAGUGGAAACAUUAAUUAUUUCAUUAGAUUAAAUUAUAUAUAUAUAGUAUAUUAUAUAUUAAUUAUAUAUAUAUAUAUGUGAGACUACUAUGCUAUCGAAAGUAUGGAGCCUUUCGUGCUUCUAGCUCGUUUCGAUGUUGCGAUUUUCGAAUCGUGAUCGGCUCUGUUAAACUUGAUCUAGAAGUAUUUGAGUACAUAGAAAAUAAAUUUUUUAUUUUUCGAUAUCAUUUGCCUAGUGAUCGAAUGGGCUCAAAAUCAACAAAUUUCAAUGGCCGUAGUGAGCGCUUUGCAAGUUUAACGGUGUAAAAAUAUUCAAAUCAGCGUGAAAUUUUGAUGAAAAUUUUUUAUACUAUAUAAAACAAGAUCAAUAUCCUUGAUUUAAAAUUUUAAUGUCAUAUUAUUACAUUUUGUAGAUUUUUAUUUUCAGCGUUGAUUUUGAGCCUUCGUUCAUUAGGCAAAUGAUAUCGUAAAAUCAUAAAAUUAUUUUCUAGGUACUUCAAAUACUCUAGAUCAACUCUAACGGAUAUAUAUAUAUAUAUAUAUAUAUAUAUAAUAUAUAUAUAUAUUAGUUGCGGCUAGGAUGCUUAUGGAAGCACGGAGGGCUCCGUGCUUUCAUUUUGUUUUCGAUGUUCGACUUUCGAAUCGACGAUCGGCUCCGUUAGAGUUGAUUUAGAGUAUUUGAAUACCUAGAAAAUAAAUUUGUGAUUUUCGAUAUCAUUUGACUAGUGACGAAGGGGCUCAAAAUCAAUAAUUUUAAUGGCCGUAGUGAGCCGGUUGCAAGUUUAACGUGUAUAGAAUAUUCAAAUUACUGAAAUUUUGAUGAAAAUUCUUUAUACCAUAUAAAACAGAUCAAUAAUUUUUAUCUAAAAUUUUAAUUCAUUUCAUCAUAUUUUGUAAGAUUUUUAUUUUCAGCCAUUGAUUUGAGCCACUUCGAUCAUUAGCAAAUGAUAAUCGAAAAAUCGCUAAAUUUAUUUCUAGAUACUUCAAAUACUCUAGAUCACUCUAACGGAGCCGAUCGUCGGUUCGAAAGUCCGACAUCGAAAAUAACUUAGAAGCACGAGGACUCCGUGCUAUCAUAAACAUACUAGUCCACUAUAUAUAUAUAUAUAUAUAUAUAUAUUAUAAUAUAUAUAUAUAUAUAUAUAUAUAGCUCGCAACGGACUAAAAUAAAUGCUUCACUCUAUAUUUUAGGAGCUUGUGAAAGUUUUUAGACCAAAAGACAAUUCUUUUGGUAAUAGUAGAAAAAGAGAACAAAUAUUAUAAAAAUAUCGAGCUCGGUAAUUCAAUAGUAAAGUGUGUUGACACUAUUACUAGUCAAAAAAAAAAAAAAGACUAAAAUUGAGUACAUUAACUAAUUACAGAUAGUUAAUUGCAUUAAAGUAACAUAUGAAUGCUUGUUUUUUUCUCUCUCCAAAGAAAAUGCAAUUAAUAGAGUACUCCUAGUAAUUAACUUGAUCUCUUUGUAGCUCUUUGGCGAGUUAUGUAGAUAAUUUUGCAAAUAUAUUUUUAAAAAAGUAUUUUUGCACUGAUGUUAAUGGUCACUUGGAAUUCUUGUUAAGUUUUUCUUUUUUUAAAAAAUAAUUUGAUGGUGUUUAGUCGUCUUCAAUGCACGUGCCUAUCAUUUCACAUGGACCAUAAAACAUAAACCAAAUCAAAAUACCACAUAAGCUAAACAACACCAACAUUCGACAAACCAAUUAAUUAAGAUCCAUCAUCAAAAAAUAUUAUUUCACAUUUUAACAGUUUGGCUCAACUUUAGCAUUUACUUUUAGCUUAUGUAAACACUGGUAGUGUAUUUGACAGAUAGAGAAAGAUAAACCUUUUGUUAUGGAGUGAAGCAUAGAAAUAAUAUUGUUGAGUCUAAAAAUAGAGUUCAAUUUGAUAUUUUUAGUUUUGUUCCAUAUAGAAUGAAAAUUUUGGAGGUGAUAAUAUAGGAGUCCAGCUUCUAUUCUCUUAAUAUGAUAAAAGUUUUUGUUCUAUCAAGUUCUUUUGUUUAAUCGAGACUCUAAAUUGAGAAUUGACACUGUUGCAAUUGAUCUACACUAUUAGAAACAUUUAGAAAUUUUGAAUUUUGUAAUUUUGAAAAAGUCCAUCAAAGAGUCAAAAAAUGAACAGUAAAAAAUAAAUAAUUUUUUAAAAAUAAAGGCUAGACUUUUUAAUUCAUGAUCAGAAUUAUCAAACGUUAUCUACGUAGUAUAAAAAAAUUUCUAUUAAAAAUUCAAGUAAUUUGAAUUGCUCUAUACCGUUAAACAAGCAAAAAGCUCAUAUGGGCCAUUAAAAACUAUAAAUUUUGCAAUCAUUUAUAUUAAAAAUUCAAGCGAUUUGAAUUGCCCUACGUGCGAGUGUACAUUGGAACCUAAUAAAAAAUUCAAAAUCAACAACAAUAUAUAUAUAUAUAUAUAUAUAUAUAGAGAGAGAGAGAGAGAGAGAGAGGCUGGUAUGCUUCUGAAAGUCCAAAUUGUUUUUAAUUUGAUCUAGAGUAUUUGAAAUAUAUAGAAAAUAAAUUUUAUGAUUUUUUAAUAUUACUUGCCUAGUGAUCGAAGGGUUAAAAAUCAAUAAUUUUAAUGACCGUGACGAACUGUUUGCAAGUUUAACGGUAUAAAAAUAUUCAAAUCGCGUGAAAUUUUGAUAGAAAAUUUUCUAUACUAUAUAAAACAAGAUCAAUAUAUUUGAUCUAAAAUUUUAACUUUAUAUCAUCACAUUUUAUAAAAUUUUUAUUUUCAGCUAUUGAUUUUGAUCUAUUUCGAUUACUAGGCAGAUGAUAUCAAAAAAUCACAAAAUUUAUUUUUUAAGUACUUCAAAUAUUUUAGAUUGAGUUUAACGGAACCAAUCGUCGAUUCGAAAGUUUCAACAUCGAAAACGAUUUGAAAAUACGAAAGGCUCCAUGCAAGUAUACCAGCCACACUUUAUAUAUAUAUAUUGCCGUCACUGGAUGUUUAAGCACAUCUCACACACCGUCCUCGAUAAAUACCAUGAUAGUGGUUGAAUAAUUGACGCCUAUUUACUCACUAAUACGUACAAAAAACAAUAGAAUUUUCAAACUAAAACUCUAAAUCACAUCUAUCUAUUGCCGAAAAUUAGAUGCGAAUCGUGAGGCAUUCGGACACACCGGGUGCAGGUAUUUCUCAGAAGGCUAAAUUAAACUUUUGUUUCUCAAACUACGGCGCAUGCUAUUUUGGCCUUUUUGGUUCGAGUUUUUUAAAUUAUUAUAAUUAAAUUUCAUAGUCUAACUUAGUUAACUAGAUAUUAAUAUAUCGAAAAAUAAAAAUAAUGAAAUAGUAUUGUGAUUAAUGAUAUGACAAUAAUUCAGGUAUCACAUUACUUCUACCGUUGCUGACUUUGUCUUCCUUUUAUUUUUUCACUUGUAUAACUUAAUUAUAAUAAUAAUAAAAUUUGAAUAAAAAAUUAUUAUAAAUAAAAAAUUGAGUAUUAUAAUAUCACCUCUCUUGUAGUGUAAUGUGUGAGGAUCAAAAGUAUAGCUUAGCCUUCUGUAGAAAGAACUGGGACUCACUCGACCCCCUCGUCCGUCCUAUCUAUAAUACCCAUCUCGCUUCAUUUAUAUUAUUUAAAAAUAAAUUUAAUUAAAAAUAUAAAUCAAUUAAAAUUAGUAUUUAAGAUUUUAAAUAUCAAUCAUCAAAUUUUUUAUCACCUGCACUAAGUACGAUCGUUAUACCUCAAUUAUUUAUGAUCUUACAUUUGUAGUGCCACAUUGGCGCCAAAUUAAUGGACCUGGUCAGGAUCAGCAUUCCCCGCCGAUUCGCUUUCCUAGUGCGCUCGAGGUUGUCGUGUCCGACCCAAUAAAGAGACCCCACCACAUUCGUACCCACGCCCCAUCACCCUCCAUCUUGUCAUAUCCCUACUUACAUGUCCACCACCCACACAUCGAUUUAAGGUUAAAAUUGUAAUUCAAAAAUGAAAACUGUUUUUUUUUUUUGAAAAAAAAAAACCUCCAAAACCUUUUUAAUUACAGGCCAUUUUAGAAAAAGUAUUGCCACAAAUUAAUUUCUCUAAAUGUUGACUCUUCUCGAUUGCUGACGUGUUAAAAAUAUACAUAGUAUAAGAGGUUUCAAAUUAUUAUUUUUUUAAAUAAUAAAGUUUGCUUGUUGAUUCUCACCAAAUGAUCAAUCAAAUUAAGUAAUUACACUCACUCACAUAGUCACAUUCUCUCUUGUAAGGGGUCAUCAAUUAAUAAACUAUGAUAUCCAUUAGAGAGAAUAAGGAGGGGUAAUUAAACUAAAUUAAAUCAGCAACAGCUGAGACAUAAUCGAACAUUCUACAGAAAGUGACAAAAAGUUUGAUGAUUGAUACUCGAGCUUCCAAAUUUGAAUUCUAAUUAAUUUACAUUUCAAACUAAGUGUAUUCCUAAAUGAAAUAAACAAAAAUUACCUUAUCUCUCUAANAAAAAAAAAAAAAACACAGCUGAGACAUAAUAACGUCUUAUUCAGAGAUUGCUCGUGGGGGCUACUGCUACUCCCCAGUCCCCUCCUCCUCACUCGUAUUUAGACCCCCCCACCACUCCUCACUUCACCACCACCACCACCACCCUCUCACCACCUUAAUCACUCAAUAUCACUCUCCUUUCAUAAGUUAAAGGAGGAAUAUAUAUAAAAAUAUAUACACGCGCGCGUGUGUGUGUAUACAUAUAUACUGACUAGGUGGUGUUAGCUGCAGCAGCGGCGGCGGUCGGUAAGAAAUGGCGGAUGCGAAUGCGAAGCAGAUAUGCGGCGUGCCGGAGAGGGUCCAGCUGCAUGUGGCCAUGCUGGCCCUCCAGUUCGGCUACGCUGGCUUCCACAUCGUGUCGCGGCUCGCGCUCAACAUGGGGAUCAGCAAGGUCGUGUUCCCGGUCUACCGGAACAUCAUCGCCUUGAUCCUCCUCAUUCCCUUCGCAUAUUUCCUCGAAAAGUACGAUCACUUUUUUUUGAGAGAUACAUAGCGUGCUACUGAGAAAUAGGAAUUAAUUAAAAUUCGAAUUUGGAAUCUCGAAUAUCAACUAUCAAAUAUUUUGUCACUUGCUUGGCGCUAGAGCUGAUCGAUAGUACAAUUACUUUCUGAUCACUGAUCACUGCAUGUACAGUAACGUACAAAUUAGUAAACAACAAGCAAAUUCAACGAAUGUAUAUAUACGCGUGACAAAAAUAUAGUUUCAUUUUAUUUUUUCUUUCAUGCAAAAAAAAAAAUGAAGUAAUAAUUCAUUAAUUACAUGUUCAAUUUAUUUUUGUAGGAAGGACAGGCCCGCCAUCACACUUAACUUCCUCGUUCAAUUCUUCCUGCUUGCGCUCUGCGGGUAAUUAAUUAAUUAACAUAUAUUUGGCACUAAUUACUCAGAUUGAUUUGAGAAUUUUAAUCUUCGUAUUUAUGUACGCAACAUAUAUAGUAUAACUGCGAACCAAGGAUUCUACUUACUGGGUUUGGACAACACUUCCCCGACCUUCGCAUCCGCGAUCCAAAACUCCGUCCCCGCCAUCACCUUCCUCAUGGCCGCUGCUCUGAGGUGACUGUUUUGCUUUAAAAGUUUAAACUAUCAGAGAACAGUAUUUUAAUUAACCUUUUUUCCGCCGCAGGAUCGAGAAGGUGCGUCUCGACCGCCGCGAUGGCAUCGCGAAGCUCGUGGGCACGCUGGCCUGCGUCGCGGGCGCGUCGGUGAUAACCCUCUACAAAGGCCCGACCAUAUUCACGCCCUCGCACAACGUAAACAGCAACAACGCCGUCGCCGCCGCCGCUGUCGAAGCGUCGGAAAAGGCGCUCCUGUGGGUGAACGAUCCCAAGGGGAAGAACUGGACGCUGGGGUGCUUGUACCUGAUCGGGCACUGCUUGUCGUGGUCGGGGUGGCUGGUGCUGCAAGCCCCCGUGCUGAAGAAGUACCCGGCGCGGCUCUCCGUCACGUCGUAUACGUGCUUCUUCGGCGUGAUACAGUUUCUGAUCAUUGCGGCGUUCAUCGAGAGAGACGCAGAGGCUUGGAUUUUCCACUCCGGCUCGGAGCUCUUCACUAUCCUCUAUGCGGUAAUAAGAGUUUUACUUGGUGUGUUUAUGUUACGUACCUGCAUGCUAGUAGUGCUUCAUGGCACAGAAGUUUUAACUUAAACUUUUUAAUUCACAAAUAAGAAUUAAUAUAGUAGUGCUUCUUCUAAUAGCACUAUUCUAAUUGCAUUUUACUCGGCCUUUUAGCAAUAUUGUUAAAUAAUUCCUUACAUAGCAGAAGUAAAAGUGAAAAGUGAAAAGUGAAGCUUAAAUGAUUAUUUGACAACCUAUUCUGAACGAGAAAAAUUUUAAAAAGAAAAUUUCUAAAUGCUCCUGGUUUUACUAUUUGGAAGCAGAAAAAAUAUUUGAAAAAAAACAGAUACAGUUAUUUCUGAGCAUAACUAAUUGCGAUCUCAUUAUGACGUGUCUAAGCUUAUAAUAUGCAGUGCUAUGAUCGGUCACAACAGCCUAAAAGUAUGCACCAACUCCAAAGGUUUCUGAAAUGGAUAUUUAGUUAAGGAAUGUCCGUAGUGAGUUGUGUUAUCUUUUUCACCUUUUUUUUUGACCCAUAUGGUGAUGGCAUAGAUGGAAAUGGACCAAACAAAUUAAAUAAAUAAUAUAUAGAAAGUUGGUGUGGCAAUUGUAUCCUUCUUUGGAAGGAGGAAAGAGAAAGAAGGGAGAGAGAGUGAGAGAGAGCUACAGGAAGUGCUCCUUUGCUUUGCUUCUCUACUUGGUCAGAAGCUUUAAAUGAAUUGGUUAAAGCUACCUUUGGACUUAGCUUUUCCACUUCAGAGGUGUGAAAUCUAAUAUUAAAACAUAUAUGUAGCAUAAAGUUGAAAUUAGUGGUAAACAUAAUGGGAUAAGCCUUUCUUUUAUGCCUUCGCUUUAACUUUAUUCAUAAUAAUACUAGCUAGUUAUAAUUACAAGUAUAAUAAAUUGCAAGGGCUCCAUUAUAUAAUCUUUUGAUGUGCAAAUGACAUCAUUAGAGGAGAAAGGAUUUCCUUUUGGUCAUGCCUACACUGUUUCACCAGAUGAAAAGAGCACCAAAAAAUUCCUCUUCAAAGGGGGCAUGUGCCAGAAUACAUACUCAUUUGUCAUCAUGCUGUACUUGCCAGAGUGUUAUGAUCACAUGGCAGCAACAGCUUCCUUUGAUUCCUCCAUGGAGUACAGCAAAUCUUUCAGGGUGUGCACCCUAGUUAUCUAGUGGAUGAGCAACUUAAUUUGGUCCCCCACAAAACAAAAAAGAAAAGGAAAAAAAAGAAGAAAGAAAUCUUACUUUUUCUAAAGUUAGGUAGAUAGAGCGCAGAAGGAUUUGAGUAGGUCUUGAGUUCGAGUCUCAUUUACAGAAACGAAAAAAAUAGAAAGAAAAAGAAAAACUAGUAGUAACAUAAUGCAUUACUUGCGUCGAGCAUCUUUACUAAGCUCAAAUAUAUAUAUGAACUCAUUUUUUAGGGUUUCAUUGCGUCUGGAGUGGCGUUCGCAGUCCAGAUAUGGUGCAUCGACCGUGGCGGUCCUGUGUUUGUGGCCGUUUAUCAACCCGUCCAGACUCUCGUCGUCGCCAUCAUGGCCUCUAUCGCUCUCGGAGAGCAAUUCUACCUCGGAGGGUACCGAAUCGAAAUAACUAAUCUAACUGCACAUAAAAUAGCAAGCAUGAAAUUUCUAAUUUGCUUCUUUUUGCUAUUGAUCUUUUUGGUGCAGGAUCAUUGGAGCCAUAUUGAUCAUAAUUGGGCUAUACUUGGUUCUCUGGGGCAAAAGUGAGGAGAGGGCAUUUGCUAUAAAAGAGGCAAUAAUUUUGGCUUCCUCAAACAGUGAAGAUAACAGCCAUAGAGCAAGUGCUGUUUCCUUCAAGGCUUCUUCCCUGAAUCAACCACUACUUCCCUCAUCUACCUCGGAAAGCGUGUGACAAGAACUAUAAUUAAUCCCUCUCUUGGAGAUCUAUGUAUGGGCUCAUGUUUAUGUUUACGCAAUAUUUAAUGUUGUGAAGAAGCAAGUUAAGAAUGGGGUUGUAGUGUGUGAGAGCAUAGACUUAGAUUUGUUUACUCAAAAGUUAACUACUACUACUAGGGUUUACUCACUGCAGUUGAUGGGUUGGUGCACAGUGAGUGCUAGAAGGAUUGUGUUGGUAGCUACUAGAUCUUUGUUCAAAAGAAGCUAUGAGGUUUGCAUUUGGUUUGUUAUGUUCUUGUCCUUUUCUCUUCCCAUGCUUGUGAGUGGCAAACUUGCAAAAGAGAAUCAAGCAUCUAUUUUGUCCUUUAGCUUGAUAUAUAUUAUUGAGUGAUUGAUAAGAUAAAAGAGUUACUGGAGAUCUACAUACAUAGAUAGGAAUAUAUAUUUCUACUUGACCAGUCCUCUCAGUUUCUGAAAAUGUUUCUCAGAAUAUUAUUAAUGAUCAUCCUAGCAUAUACAUGCAGAUCAUAGUGAGUAAUUUAGAUUUUUCGAAUUUUUGUGACCAUGUUUUCAUUUCAUUAUAUAUGAUCUCUAUUUAUUUUUGGCACACAAAGAAUAUUAUCUCACUCAUGUAAGUAUAUAUCCUUUUUCACGUCUGAAAUAACCGAACCGCUUAAUUAAUAGCUUCCAUGCAUGUAUAGGAAGCAGAUUUUUCAAAAACAUUCUGCGGAAGUAUGCGAGGCUGGUUGAUUUGUCGACAACAUUAACUUUGAGAUAUAUUAUUGCACAUACAUUACUCUAUGUCGGUUUUUCACUCCGAACACCAUUUUUUCUUAAGAUUGUAAGUGAGGAAAAAGAAAAGAGAGAAAAACAGUCAUAUGCAUUUAGAAGCAUAUAUUUAGAUGGCCCUGUUAAUGAUGAAAGGUGAGAAACACAAUGAAGCAUUAUAUAUCUUAUCUUUCACUAUUAAAUACCUAAUUGGAGGUUCCAAAGUCCCUUUGCAGUCUCUGUCACGCAUGAUCCACUAACUUGUACAAUAUUUGACCUGAACAUGACUUCUUUGUGAAGGCUCUAGAAGACCUUUGAUUCUUUGUUCUUAAUUGUGCCCCACUCAUAUUCCAGAGCAAUCAAAUGCUAUGCUUUCUUUCUUCUUCUUUUGUUUUUUGUUUCUUUAUGCAACUUUACAUAGGGGGGAAAUUUGAGGUGUCAUAUAUGGAGGGGUUAGUUAAUUUUGUGAUCUUAAGAGUGGUAUCAGUCCUCAAAGCUGGUACUUUACUAAUCAAAAUUCUAGUUUAUUAAAGAGGUUUUAAAAAGUGGUGGUGGUGUUUUGGGGUUCAGAAAAUAUUAAUAGUUGAUUUUAAUGCUAUGAUAACUAGAUUGUAUUUUGUGAUAACUAAUGCUUUAUUACCUUCAUGUACACAACAAGAUAAAGGAUAGGACAAAGAAGAGCAGGAGAAAUGUGAAAGUAUCACUGCUUUAGCCUAGCUUGUUGGCUUUAGCUGUUAAAGCUGAGAGGUCUAAUGGAAUAAUCCCAAACAAACUUGACUUGAAUUAGAUCCAAAUCACAAAUCCAGAUACGAGAUUUAGUUUUUUUUUUUUUUUUUUUUUUAGUGAUUGUUUUGUAUGGUAUUAGAGCUGGAGAUUCUGAAUUCUCUAUCAGGUGAAGACCGUUGAGGCUCUCCACGUCUUCAUGUUUUAUCAAGAAAUUCGCCAAAAUCUUUUCCAUUACUUUUUAAAUUCCCUCCAGCAAGGGAUGCUUUGCUUGCUUACAAUUCUAUAAUUUCUGUAUAAUUCAAUUUUUUUUCACUUCAUGAAUCAGGGCUUGAUCCUUAAGAUUCGCAGAUAUUAAAAAAGAAUCAUAAAAAAAAUACUUCCAUUUGAUGUAGUCUUAAUUAACAUGUACAAUUAUGAAUGCUGGUUGAAAUAAUAAGUUUUCAAAUUUAAAAACAAUUCAAAAAAGUUGGGCUUCUUAAGUGAGGCCCAAUUCCAACUUAAAUUUAUGGGCUUCGUGGACCAAGCACCACAGCAGGCCCAUAUUAAUUUAUGGCCCUGGCCCCUUUUGGGAUCACAUGGAGAUUGCGCUACCACAUUCUUUUACAUGCUUUCACUCAAACUCUAUUUUAUUUAUUAGCAUUUAAUAUACAUUCAUUCAUACCAAAUGAGUCUCUCUUCUUGUUUGGAAACAACGAAUGACACGUGUAGCGUGGACCUGGUUCACCAGUAAGCCAAAAGCCAACCCAAGUUUUUAAUCUUAGAGGUCGCAAAAUCUGAAAUAACCAAUGGAUGCAAUCUCUUGUUAUGAAGAAUCUAUCUACAUCUAAAAAAUUAUAAAGUUCAAAAAACCUUGAGGAGUAUGUUUUCUUAUUUUUAGUGGUUAUAGAGUUUCUUUUUUUUUUUUUUGAGAGAGAGAUAGGUAGCACGCUACCCGCUUCGUUUAUUUCAUUUAGAAAUAAACUUAGCUGGAAAUGUGAAUCAACUAGGAUUCAAACUUGGGCCUCGGAUACCAACUACCAAGCCCCUUACCACUUGCUCUAGGGAUGCUCUAGGGAUGGUAGUGGUUAUAGAGUUUCGAGUGUUGAAAGGUUAGUAGUCCACGGUAGACCCGGUCCUGGCAAAUGAAUUUUCCAUAGUCGGAACGUAGGCGGAACGCUCACAGCGGUCUCCAUAUGGAAUGGGUUUUAGUCCCACAUCGACUAGCGAGUGCUCUUUUCAGUCGCCAGGAUGCAUAAGAAGGGUGGGGUGUGGAUCAUUUUUCCAUACUUACCUGGACGGGGUCUAUGGGCGAUCAAGAAGGUCCAUGGCCUAGGCCCGCGGCCCGCAUUGCACUUUGUGGGUGCGCUGGCCUACCAUCUCCCCAAGUGGGAGAGUGGACGUCAUAAUUUGUGGUAGAGGGGGUACGCGCCACGCGCGGCCCCUGCCAAUUCAAAAGAUUUAAAUUUUUUAAAAUUUUAAAGUUUCAAAAGAUUAGAUAGUAUAAUUUAUAAUUUAUUUGAAAUCAUAAAUUAUUUUUAUGAAUGAAUGUUUAUUGUUUAUAAUUUUAGUUGUAUUGUUUAUUUUUUAAUUAAUUUUAAUUCUGGGGAGUAAAUAGUAUAUUUUGAUUUGAUUUUAAAAUUUAAGUGUUUCAGUUUUUGCAUGAAUAAAUUUUAAAGUUAAAAGUAUCUUCAAAUUAAACUAAGACAAUUAAAUAUUUGUUUAGCUCAAUUUUUUUUCCUGCUCUUUGGUGUUGAUCGAAACACCUUUGAUUGAGGGGUCUGUUUGCUUUACCAAAUUAAAGCAAAAUUUUGAAUCAACUAGAAUUUGAGUAAAUUUUUAUUUCACUUUUCUGUUCAAUAAAUUAAUAUUUUUUUAAAUCUUUUUUGUAAAUUAAAAGUUUUGAGUUUUAAUCGAAGAUUAGAUUUAGUAAACCAUUGAAAAAAUAUAAACAUUUACACUGAAAAUUACUUAAAUCUUUGUCCACUCUCUGAAAAACAAACAAACUCAUGAGCACUUUUCCUUGAAGUUCCCACCUUCUGGGGGCCCAAAAGGAGAAAAGCCCUUUAUCGCAAUGUUAGCAGCUGAUACCUUAUCCCCGACCCACCAAAGCCCCUAAUCUCGGCUUCUUCUCCUUCUCUCGACUCUGUCUGAUUUUCAUGGAGGAAGCAGUACUCGGCGUCGCCAUGGCCACCCACGCCAUCCUCGCCGCCGCUACCAUAUCCUUCUCCUCCCCUGCUCCUCUCCUUCCUCAUUCCUCUGCUCGCCCCUUCCACCCCGCCAUUAUCGCCCAACCCCUCAAGCUCCUCUUCCCCUCCCCCUCCGACGCCGCCGCUCCCAAGCCCCUCGCCGUGGUCGCCGCUCCCAAGCCCCUCGCCGUGGUCGCCGCCACCCAGAAGGCCGUCUCCGUCCUGAAGGGCUCCUCCCAUGUCGAGGGCCUCGUCACCCUCCUCCAGCAAGACGAUGGUCUCUCUCUCCAGCCUAAUCUCUCUCUCUCUCUCUCUCUCUCUCUCUCUAGCAUUGCUCUCCUUUGGGUUCGCUUCGUUUCAUCGUAUUGGCAAAUGGGUUUUUGCUCAAAAUUGAAGCUUUUCGUCGCUAUUGGGAAAAGUGUGAAUGGGUUUUCUCGGGAUUUUGUUCUAGCGGGAUUGAUCGAUGUGUUUGUGUUGACUAUUCAUUUCAUCAGUUUGGUUAUAUACUUGCUUAGUGUUCUGUUAGAGUAACUUCAUUGUAAGAAUAUAUGGUGAAUAUGAACAUUCUCUAACUUCGUUGUAAUUUUAGGAUGAUAAGUGAGUUAAUUUGUUAUAGUCGCUUGGUUCUUGCGUAGUUGUGUUGUGUUCUUAGCUCAUUUGUGAUGUGUUUCCAUGAAAAUUUUGAUUUCUGUUGAAUUUGCUAUAAUUUUUAAAGCAAGUUAUGAAUUAUAAUUAUAUAUAUAAUAUAUAACAAAUCAACAGGUCCUACAACAGUGUCAGUGCGCGUUACUGGACUAACCCCUGGACUUCAUGGCUUCCACCUUGUAAGCGGUUGUUAUUUUAUAUGAUUGUUUGCUGCUACUUAAAUAGAUGAUCGGCGUUCUCUAGUCAAAAUGCAUUCUUUUCUUUGUUGCAGCACGAGUAUGGCGACACCACCAAUGGCUGCAUAUCAACAGGUUUAACAUCUAUUCAACCAGUCGCUUAUACAGAUGCCAUUAUCAGCAGGUUCAGUAUUCGUUGAAUUGAUUAUAUUCUGCUGACGGAAGCUGCUCUUUAACUCGAUUUUCUUGAUGUUAUGUUGUUAUCUGAGCAGUCGAGCACAGCAUGUGGAAGUUUUCAGUAAUAAAGCAUUUGGCAAUUAAAUAGUUUGGAGCUUUGAUGUGGCAGAAGUUUCUGUAUCUGCCUCAUCCUAAGAAGAUUUUGAUGAAAAAGCUUAUAGUGCUUCUUUCAACAUCUAUGGUUGACCAUCACUUCUGCAGAAGCUCAAUUUGGGCCAAUUAGGCCCCUCAUAUCGUUAGAUUUACCAGCUUUUGCUGGAGGGGAAAAAAAGGAAAAUGUUCUUAAUGUUUCUGCAUGUAGUAUAGUACUUUUCUAAGGAAAAUGCAAUUUUGUUCACACAGGGCCACAUUUCAACCCAAGUAAUAUGACGCAUGGUGCUCCCAAAGAUGAAGUUCGUCAUGCGGGUGACCUGGGAAACAUAGUUGCCAAUGCCGAUGGUAUCACUGCAAGAGUAGUUGUAUUUUUUCUUUUUCUUUUUUUGUCCACCAUGUUGAAUUGACAUAUUUUCUUUUGGUCUAUGUUUGUUACUUUCAUGCAUAUAGGAAUAGCUGAGGCGACAAUUGUCGAUAACCAGGUAAACUUGAAUUCUAUACUUAAUAUGUUUAUAUAGAUUCUUUUCAACAUGCUCAGGCGAACCGCUUCUUUUCUUCAGAGACAAAAAAUUAAAAAACUUCUUUCUGCUUCUCAAUAAUUGCUUUCUCUGCUUGCUAAUACUUGGUUCUUUGCAAAUGUUGGAUCGGCUAAUUUUAAACCUUAGAUUCUUUUGAGUGGACCAAAUUCAGUUGUUGGAAGAGCCUUUGUGGUUCACGAGCUUGAGGAUGAUCUCGGGAAAGGUAAUGCUUGAUUUUUCAUCAACCAAGCUCCUGUUUCAUAGAAAAGCAUACAUCUGUUUUAAUUACAUAGUUCACAUUGUCCAUUCUUAUUGAGUUCUUAUUUGAAGUUUUGUUCUUUGGAUGCCUCUUGUCACAGGGGGCCAUGAGCUUAGCCUUACGACUGGAAAUGCUGGCGGACGAUUGGCCUGUGGUAUGCUAUCUAGCAACCUCUUUUUGUUGAAAUUGAUUGUUUUUUAUUUCCACUUAUAUGUCUCUGCCAAAAUAGUUCCUUAUUUUCUAGCUUUUCUUUUACAUGUAUUAAACUACUAUAAUUAUGAAAAAUUUCAAGAAGCAUGGGGUAGUGGCAUAAUUAAAAGUGAGACAAUGGCCCUAGGAUCGUGGUAAAUAUAACUCGGAUGUGGCAAUUGGAAUGAGAGUGGGAGUGUGUUUCUUGGAAUAGGAUUUAACUGAUCGGUGCUGUUGGGAAUGAUGCCUUGUCGUGGCUUAAGAGUAUACAAUACAUUAGGUGCAAUAAUGAGAUAAUGAAGGAACUGUUUAUUACAUUUUGAAAGGGAAUGCUAAACUUGAUGACCACUCUCUGAUUCCUGAAAAGAAGAAAAGAGCAAAAAGUUUCCGUGGAGGCUCUUUCAUGUACUUGAAGUCAAUAACCAAACAAAUUUUUUUUUUGCACUGAAGAAUAAUAUGGAGCUAUCCCCAUGUGAUGCACUUAAAACAAAAUGUGUAAAGCGUAGUGAAAAAUCUACGUAGCCACAGAAGUAAAACAAACCUAUACAGAAAGGGGGGGGGGGAGGUAGCCAUCACAGAAAAAAAGCUUUACCCACAGCCUGUGGCAGACAUGAGAUUUAAGGACUUGACCUGUUAAUUUACCAUUUUACAGUGAAACUAUUUCAAUCUAGCAGAGCUGUUUCUAAUUUAUCAUGUUUCAUGUUUCUCAGAAGUUAUUUAAUGUAAAGAUUAUGCUUGUGGCCGGUUUUGCAACACGGAUGCCCUUGCUGUGAUUCAGCAUUACUGUUCUUCAUACAUCAGCACUGAUGCCUGUGUUUUUGAGGGGCCACAAUUUAGAUAAUCUAUCAUACGUGAAUUUGUCUCAUUCCAACUUAUAUGGAUGCAUCUUAUAAAAAUUUUCUUUCAAACUUCGCGAGUCCGUCUACUAUACUAUUAUGAGUAUGAUCGCCCUCGUACUCAUAAUUGUUUUCGAUGAUAGAGCUUCCAAAUUGAUGAGCCACACCGUUAAAUAUUAUCUAGCGCAUUUAAAACGUCUAGAAAUCAAAUUUUAUAAUUUUUCGACAUCAUUUACCUUACGAUCAAAAGGUCACAAAAUUGACAAUUUUUAACGGCUAGUAUAGGAUAUUUGCUAGUUUAACGGUGUAAACGAAUUGAAAUUGGUUGAAUUUUUAAUAGGAAAUUUUAUUCACUACAUAGAUAAAGAUCAAUAACUCCGAUCUUAAAUUGAAGGAUCCGAUCAUCCAUUUUUAAGAUGUCGUUCGAUUUUGACCGUUCAUUUUAUACCCGCUUGAUAGACUUUAUUAUGAUUUCGAAAAAUUACGAAAUUUAUUUUCUAGAAGUUUGAAAUACUCUAGAUCAUAUUUAACAGAGUAUAUCGUCAAUUCGGAAGCUCCAUCAUUGAAAACAACUUAUGAGUACAAAGGGCUCAAUACUCAUAAGAGUAUAGUAGCCCUACUCCAAACUUCGCUCUUAGAUUGUUUGUUAUGUACGGUGAAAGCAUUGACUAUCAGCUCUUGAAACUUCGAUUCUCUAUUGAGGCAUUAACUAUUAGAGUAGAUGUAACAUUCCUUUUGUUAUUUUGCUGCAUUUACAGGUGUUGUUGGUUUGGCUCCAGUUUGAUUGAUUCAAUUCUGUGUCCGAGCUAGCUUCGUCAUGCUUGCGCUACGGAGUUGUAGUACUAUGCAUUACUUGGAUCCAACAUUCCGGCAUGUUGGGUGAGUGUUUAGUCAUGCUUUUGAUCUCUCUACUUACAUUGUCUUCCUAUGCCAUCUUUAAGCCUUCAAGAUUAGAUACAUAAGAAAAUGUAUUCAUGUGCAGCUGUAACUAUUACUGUACACUGAAUUCUGUGUACUUUUGGUAGAAAACUUUAAUCCAUAUAAAAUCAUAUUCUUGUACUUGUAGUGCUUAAAAUUAGUGGUACUUUUAUAAAAAGAAAAAAAGUAAAAACAAGUAUUAAGCAAGCAUAAAUAUAGAGAAAACUUAUCUUUGAAAAACACACAAAAGAAGCUUCUCUUCUGGUAGGUACAUAUUCCCAUGCCUUAGAGCACUUCUUUAACUUGAACACAAUCUCUUAGAAAAAUCCAACGAAGUGAAGAGGUAGGUACAACACAGCUAUAACACACUAAUGACCUUGUUUUCAUAUUUGAUAUUGAACCGUAUAUUUAAUUUUUAUGUACAAGUAACAUAAAAAGGAAUAAUACCCCAGUACCCAUAAAUCAUGUGUACAACUAAUGCUUCCUAAGCAAACCAAUUCUAAAAGAUACAGCAAAACACGUCAAGAACAUUUCAGAUAUAGCUUUGUCGGUGACAUUUUUACACUAAUCAAUUAGUUUGGGAGGGAGAUGGACACUUGUCCCAAAUUCCAUUUGAAAAUGGAUUCGAUCGUGUUUCUUAAUUUGUUUUUAUUAUUAUGCCACAUGGCGUAAUAUUGUUGAACACCGAGAAGGUCAACCACCACCAAAGUUUAUUCGGAUAAAACAAGGGUGUUUUUUUUUUUUUUUUUUUUUUUUUUUUUUUUUUUAGAGAUAGAUAACAUGCUACCCGCUUCGUUUAUAUACUUUUUUGACUAAAUUCCCAAAAAGAGAAAAACAAAAAUAAAAUCUUUCACUGCGGUCCCAUAUUUCAAUUAUUCUGAUUUUUUUAGGCAUUUUGAUACAGUGGUAAAGUGUAGGAUUAAAAUUGAUGUGACUGUUUUAUUUAAAGGAAUAAUUGAAAUAUGGGACCGCAGUGAAAGAUUUUAUUUUUGUUUUUCUCUUUUUGGGAAUUUAGUCAAAAAAGUAUAUAGUAGUUCUACUUGGGGAUAAGUUUAAUUACUAUACCAAAGCCCUGUCAAAAAUCAAAAUAUUCAACUUCUCAUUUUCCAAAUCAAAAUUUGAGGCGAGUUCGCAUAAAUUCUCCAAUACACUUCCUCAAUUUCCUCUCUACUUAAAAAUUGACUAAAUGGAAUUGUUGAAUUCCUUUAAAACACGCGUAAGGGAAUAUGACAUGAAAAAGAAUUUAAAAAAGAAAAAAAAGGGGUGGUUGACAUUCACACAAUACAAAUAACCAAAAACCGCGUGUUACCUGGGAAUGCAUUAAGAAAAAGAGAAAAGUGUUCCUCAAAAGUCCUCUUGACAACCUUAUCUCAAAGUGCUUAUCUACUCAAAAAGCAUGAUCUCACCAAUGACAAAAUCAAAUUAUUUAAAAGGUAAUUAAAUUUACUAGUGGUUUUGUUAGAUUUGGUAGUGUAUACCAGGUCUUUAGCAAAUAAAAACUACAGUCGAGGGGCCUCCGUAACAUUUGUCGCCUAAAUUGUGUUACUGUUAGUUCAAUUCAUACCCACCAGUGAGAUGCUGCUACUAAUUAUUGGAACACCAGUAGCAGCAGCCACAAGUUAAAAAGGGGGAGAUCUCUUUUCCCUUUGGUAAAGUAAAUAGUGGCUUCGCUGUUGCGCGAAGCACUUGCAACUAAAAAGGUGCUUCUUACAUAGGUACUCAAUAUUCAAUAUUUGGUAGUGAGAGUGUGCUUCGCCCCACACGCACGCGCGCACACACACACACACCCCUCCAAGUGGCUACUAGUAGAAGUGGUGGUGUUGUUGUAUGUUGACAUGCGAAUCGAUAUUUGUUUUGAGUCUCUUGGAACCACUCAAUGACUUGGAGCAUGUGGCUAUGGCUAACUCAGUCACAUGUCAACCAAUCCAACGAACGGAUGGUCGCUAUGCAAGGUAGAGAAACUAGUGCCUGUUCUUCUUAAUGCUUUUGCUUUUGAUUACAGUUAUCUUUAAUAAUAUGUUCUUUUAAUUUAAAAAGCUUGGACAGUUUUGCUGUAGUAGUAAGCAGGUUGUAGUUUUGUCACUUUUGUGUUCCAAAAAAAAAAAAGCAACGGUAACUUUGAGCUUCUGUAUCUACUGUAGAGAUAAGUUGUUAGUAGUAGAGCUUGAUAUAAUACUUCUUAUAAUAGCAUUUCUCAUACAACAUCAUCAAGCAAUUAAUAGUGUGUCCUAUAGCAAGAUCAAACUAGACCCAUUAACAUUUGAUAUUAUUUCAAUCGCUUUAUUUUAGUGCGACAUGGUACUAGCAAGUUGCCCUAUAUAGCAGUAUAUAUUGAGAGUUUGGAUACUAAGUUUCGAAUGGUAACCUAAGGGUCCAGUAUUAUUAUCUGGACCCUUAUUUGCUCAGAAAUAUAUCAAUUUGGACAUUUGCUAAGCAAGAAGUACCUAUCCAGGCCUUCAAAAGUAGAAUCUUCAGCUUGAGUAUAUUGUAAGUUGAUGAAGCUUAGUAAUUAAACUUGUAGAUCAACUUCUCUACUGUAAAGAGUAAAAUAACAAUAAUAAUAAUAAUAAAUAAUUUACAAACUAAAAGUCUAAAAUUUUUUGGUAUCACAGAAAAUGAGAAAAGAGUCCCCAAAAGCAGUUUAAGUUUUAACUUGAUGGGGCUAUCAAAAUUUUACUGCAGCUAGUAAGAAUCCUCCAUAGCUCAAAAGAGUCACAAAAGCUGCUUCUUUGAGAAUCUCAGUAUGCAGUGGAUGGUUUGGUAACCAACAUAAAUGACUUGGGUUUGCUUUAUUUAAUUAAUUAAUGGAGACUCACUUAACAACUAGCUACUAUUAAAGUAUCCAUCUCCUAAAGAGUGCCCAGCAUUGCACAUGAAGAUAAAGCACAACUGUAACAGAAAAGGUAAUGCAACCCACUUACACAUAACCAUUAAAUUAAUUAAUUAGAACUAAGCAAUAAAAAUAAUAGUAGGGUAUUAUUAUUGGUGGGUGUGAAUUAUUAAGGUAAGGUAACCACCCCCCCCACCAUGUGAAUAAUGACAAUGUCAAACACCAAACACACCCCCAUGUUUAUGGUCUUCGCACGCAAAGUCCACUCCAUACACUUACUCAAUUCUCUUUUCCUCCACACUACCAAAACGUGCACUUAAUUGACACCUAAAGCCUUUGAUAAAGUCAUCUGAACAACAGCUAUACUCGUUUCCUCUCAAAGCCUUGAAUCUUAGUUACUUCAUCAACUUGUUCUCUAUUUGGUCUAAGACUCGAAAUUAAGAUUAUUUUUGAAUCGUUAUCUAUCUAAUAUGAAUUAUUUAUCUGUUAUUAAGUUGUCUCUCGUGUUGUCUCCAUAAUACGACAACGAUCGAUGAUGUGGAAGUGUGACAUGUUGUAUUUUGAUGGCAUUAAUUGAUCAAUGUGGCACAAUGUUCAUGUGUUAGGGCCAACCCAUGUUUGAGAAGAUAAUCAUGAAGAUAAUUUUUUUUUUUUUUUUAAGGUAUGUGAGAAAAGAUGUAGAUUUAUCUAAAAAUAGAGAGAGAGAGAGAGAGAGAGAGAGAGAGAGAGUACAAGUGUGUGGGGGGCGUUAUCUAGUGGUCACCUUUUUCCAUCUCAUCUUUUUUAUUCUUUUUGCAUUAAAAUGUGAGGGGAGGGGGUUAGUUUGCUUGCAAACAAAACAAACUCGUGAGCCGAAAAAGAACCUGAUCCACGCCCCUUUCCUUCGAGGUGGAGAAAUCAACUACCACUUCCCAGACGGAGAGAGAGAGAGAGGUUUCCAUACUCUUCGUCUUUUUCUUUUUUUUUUUCUUAUCUUACACUUUACAACAAAAUACAAUAACCAAGUUUAACACUCUUGUUAAUACCGACCGUCCCUAGUACAAAUGGUAAAAGACUUAUGGUUGAUAUUCGAGAUCUCAAGUUCGAAUUUUAUCCAUCGGCUUGGUGGUUGGUAUCUGAAAUUCGAAGUUCGAAUUUUAGUUGAUUUACAUUUUUAGUUAAAUUUAUUUAAAAAAAAAAAAAAAAAUUUAGCUAAAAAUAUAAAUCAAUUAGGAUUCGAAUUUGGAACAAAAGAUACCAACCACCGAGUGCUUUGCAACAAGCGCCGAGGACGGUAGGUUAAAAAAGAAAAAAAAUAAUUUGUUGAUUCAGUAUUUAAGAAUAUUAUGGGAAACUAACAGGCUUAACAAUGAAUGAUUAAAAGAAUCCAAAGAAUCAAUGGUAAUUAAGCUGUAACAAUAAUAAUAAUUCACAUAAUAAUUCACAUAACAAGUUUUUUUUUUUUUUUUUCGGUCUAUAGAAUUCUAAGAAAUUUCACAAGUAAAUUGAAUAAAAUUCUAUGAUUAAUAAUGGCAAUCCACCAAAGCCGGGGCGAAGAAGACGAGCGCCGGCUUCGCCCCGAAGGCGAAGACGGGGGGAUUGGGGUAGCCGUUGGCGGCGGCGGGGGCGUCGUCGUCGGCCGGAGCGGGGAGGUUGAGAUCCAGCGGCAGCGGCAGCGGCGGCGGCGGCGGCGGCGGCUGCUUCUUCGCCUCCGCCGGGGGCUCCGCCGCGCUCAGCGGGCGGUGCCGCCGCAUGUGGCCGCCGAGCGCCUGCCCGGAGGCGAACUCCGACCCGCAGAUAGAGCACUCGUGAACCCUAAUUUUGUUGUUGUUGUUGUUGUUGUUGUUGUUGAUGAUGCUGUUGUUGUGGGAUGUAUUCGGCUUCGGCGGUGGAUCGAUGGAUGGGUGGAGGGGGAGGGGGAGGGGGAGGGUGAUGGGGAUGUCCUUAUCGUGCUCUCCGUCGCCGUCGUUGGGAUUGGGGUUGGGGAGAGGGGAGGCUUUGGGCUUGUCGUCGGUCCUCGGCUUCUUGUGGCUGGCGCGGUGGCCGCCGAGGGCUUGGAAAGAGGGGAAGCUCUUGUUGCACGUCUUGCACUCGUAGGCGGAGGGGGCGGCGGCGGCGGCGGAGGAGGAGUCGGCGGAGGAGCGCGGCCGGGGCGGGGAUCUCUCGGCGGGCGACGGGACGGGGGCGGCGCCGCCGUGGGCGAGGAGGAUGAGGCACUGGGCCAUGUCCUCGUCCUCAUCCGUGGCAGCGGCGGAGGUGCUGGAGCUCUCGGCGGCGGCGGCGGCGGCGGCGGCGGCGGAUGAUGACGACGAUGACGACGACGAUAGGGUUGGGGGGCGGAGGCGCUUGGUGCGCUUCCCCUUCACGAGGGCGCCGAGCAGGGAGGAGUCGACGCUAGGGUUCCCUUCUAGGGUUUCCAUUUUUGCUCCGUGAGAGAGAGAGAGAGAGAGAGAGAGAGAGAGAGAGGCGUUAUNGGAGGGGUUAGGGAGAUGUAAAAGGGUGUAACCGUUUUUGAUUUUGGGGGAGCUCACACUGGAUGGUACACACUCCUACACGGGAGUUUAAAUUAUAAAUAGAGAGAGAGAGAGAGAGAAAAGGGCGCAAGAGAAAAAUGUGGAGGGUAAAGUGGGAAAUGUGCGAGAUUAGGGGAGAAGGACAUGUGGCGUAAUUAGGUGGAAACUGGAGCGGUGUGGAGUGAACAACAAAGAGAGAGAGAGAGAGAGAGAGAGAGAGAGAGAGAGAGUGGUGUACUGGUGUGGACUGUGGAGAAAUAAAUAUUAAUUAAAAUUUUUAAUUUCUAUAGAUAGGGAGUGAGGAGAUGGGGGAGUUGGUGUUUGCUAUUUUUUGAGCAUUCUAUAGUGUGUGUACACUAGGCAUGACUAAGAUUUAUGGUUUAUUAGCAGUAGAAAUUAAAAUCUAAUCCGAAGCUUAUGUUAUUAAAAAUUAUAACUUUUAAAAAGUCCUGUAUAGUUUAGAAGCUUAUGUUAUUAAAAAUUAUAACUUUUAAAAAGUCCUGUAUAGUAUGUAAACAUUUUGACGGCCAUCCUGAUUUUGAUAUUUUUGAUCGGCUUAAAGGGAUCAGCAUUUUGUCUUAUAGUGAAAGACCAGAUCGAAUCGAGCUACAAUUGAGAUCUUCUAUAUCUAUACGCUUAAUUAAAUGAAUUAGGUGUAAUUUUCUAACGGCUUAAAAUUUUGAAAUUAAUGAUAGUGCCAAAGUUCCACAAUCUUUAGGCUACAAUGUUAGGUUAUUAUAUAGUGUACACAGAUGAUGUGCUUGUACACCAGGUGCAUGGACUUGGUUUAUCUUGUGAAGAGGGGGGAUUGGUUGGCCAAUCAUAGGUGGGGAAAUGACUCCAUAAAUGUAAGGAAGUGGACCACGAUAAAGCCAUGCUACCUCUCCUUCACUAUUCCUUGAAAACGAAUAUAUGUGUGUGUGUGUGUGUGUGUGUGUGUGUGUGUGAGAGAGAGAGAGAGAGAGAGAGAGAGAGAGAGAGAGAGAGAGAUUCGGUUGGGUGCUUUGAAGCAAACCCAUUUCUUUUGUGCAACGAUUCGUGUUGAUAGGAUUGGACUACAAGCCAAGAACCACAAGAUUUUGAGCUCAUAUUUUCCCAUUUUUAUCAUUAUUCUUUUUCCCCCUUAAAUAUAUAUAUAUAUAUAUAUAUAUAUUGUAAUAUUUUUACAAAGCUUGGGUUGGUCCCCAAUGCUAAACAAGGGGUUGAAGCAACUCCCUUAAAACUACUACUAGUAGUAAGGAUAUAGUGGGCACUGGUACUAGUGGUGCUGGUCUAAGCAACUGCCACAUUUGUGGCUACUAUGAACUCCAAUAUAUAUAUAUAUAUAUAUAUAUAUUUGUCUCCAUAUAUAUGCGCAAAAAAUAAAUAAAAGAGUAAAGUUAAUGCAUUCAUCUAUAUUUUCUGCAAGUAGUUGAUGACAAGCGAAGCAUGAUAAGAAAGUAAUGAACUAAUCGAUCUUGUUAGGUUGCAGGAACUUCUCCUUUUCUUUGGCAGAUGGGAUGUACUGUGCAUGUACGCGUCGUCCGAUAAUAAAAGCACUUAAAUAAACUAAUAUUUUCGUUAAUAUAUAGUGUAGGAACAUAUAUACAACUCUUCAAUGGUGACUUGUUCUUCUUCCGCUUUUUUUUUUUUUUUUUUGUUUUUUGCAAAGUCGGAUUAGUAUUAUUAUAAGUAGAGUGUGGUGGGUGUGCAAACUCCGUGGCAAAAGAGAGUUGUACAUAUUUGUGAUUUGUUGGGGACAAGUCAACUAGAAGUUAGGAGAUGAGUGGGGUUAAGUAGGGGAGAUACUUGGCGUAACCAAUUGUUGUUUAAUUAGUUGUGUGAGGCACGAAAGAGAAACUCCAACUUAGUUUCUUUCUCUCUUUCUCUCUCUCUCUCUCUCUCUCUAUUUGAUAUCAUAUGCUACUUAGGAGGUGGUGCAAGUAAGGGAUCGGUUGGUGGAGAGUUUGGCUAAGUCCAUUCCCUUCACUCCUCUCCAAUCCGAACUGCAUACAUAUCCUUAAUUUCUAUUACUAUAUUUAUCUGUGCAAUAGAUAUUUGUUCCUACACUAGCCCAACCUUAACUAUUAUUGGAAUAGUUAGGCUUGUUAUCCUAACUUUAUUUAUUGGUGUCACAAAUUGAUUGCCCUCGGAUCGUCAUAAAUUUCACAUCCAUUAGGUCAAAAUUUCUCUCUUUUUUUCCCACUGCUGCUCGUAAAUCAUAUGUUUACAUGUACUAUUGUUUCGUUCGAUCCAUAUGAUCGAGUCAGUAUAUAUAGCAGCUAAUUAUAAAUCCCUUCAGUUCAGUUAAUACAACAAGUUAACCUUUCACUCCUUGUCUUAAUUACAUGCCAAAUCUAACUAGGCUGUUCUUCAAUCUGCACAUAUAUAUAUAUUCUGUCCUACGUGAGGUUAAAUCGACAUCUCUCCUCUAAACUCUCAAAUUCGAACCUAGCUUAAUUGUUUUCUUAUUAUAUCAAUCUUUUUAAUGACGCAGAGUCGUCAGAGUUCGCGGGACUACUCACUUAAUUAGCUUGUGAUCCACUUCAUGCCAGCGAGUUGGUUGCAGCAAAGGAGGGGCUUCCAUUUGGGUGACAGAUAAUGUAAGCUUCCACCGUUAGCCAGAGACAGAUUCCGCGAUAAAUUAGUUCGGCAGAGAAGCUUAAAAAAUAAAUAAAGAUCCAUCCAUUAUUAGAACCAUAAUAUAAUAUAAGGAACAAAUUUAAAUAAUUAUUUGAUUAGUUAAUUAAUUAAUGAUUUGGGAUCAAGGAAACCAGUUCCCCCAUUAGAGUCCUAAUGCAUGAUUAAUAUACAGAUAAGUAUUUGGUUAUUAUUGUUGGCUCGCAAUUAGUGGCGUGGGGGUUGCCUUUUCUUAAUGUGUAACCCUUAAACCUUUGAUUAAUGGUGGGUACUCUUAUUCUUCCGAGAUGUAAUAUAUCCCAUGUACAUGUGCUCGAAUCUUAAUUUAAGGACCUGUUUGGAUACAUGAAAUUUUUUUCAAAGUACAAUUAGAUAUCUACAACAGUAUAUGUAAACUGUGAUCCACCACCAAUUCACACUUGAGCUCAGCUUUGGCCUAUAUUUACACUCUUGAGCAAGUCGGUUUUUGGGGGAUCCAUUUAAUUACUUUUUGGGUCCCCACAAGAAUCCUCUCCCUCCUUUUUAUUCUUUUGGUGAGAAUCAGAUGUUUAAUUUCCUACAAUCCAAUUCAGAGUUUACUCUCACAUCCUAUUCAGAUGUCUUAUCGUUGGGAUAUAUACUAAUCAUUUAUUAUUUUGUGUCAAAUUAUAUCCCUAUAAAUAUGCUAGGUUUACAUCGCUUUAAUUUCGUUUUAUGGUGCACUAGUUAGUUAAACAGCAGGAGUUCUUAGUAACCACAAUUAAUCUUCUUAAGUAACUUUUGGAGCUCGGAAACGUUGAGAACAAAAUGUACGUGUUUGUUGUAUUUUUGUGACACCGUAACCUUUCUUUAACGAUGGUGACCUCACACCGCACCUCAUACGUAAUCUCCGCCACCCAAAACUUUAAUUAAUUACUAACCCAUGAGACGUUUUUUUUUUCCCUUUUCACCUGCACCUUUUUCCGCUCGGAAAAGCACUUCUAGGAGCUGCACUUCUGCGUGCGUUGGAGAUCACGUGGAAAUCAUGCGAGUAAAUGGAGUGGCAUUAUAUGCACAGGGUUACUUUAGAUGAAAGUGAGUUAUACACUUUUUAAGCUUGGGUUUUUUUUUUUUUUUUUUUUUCCCCUCAUGUGAUACCCGUUUAGUUGAUUAAUUGCACCCUUUUUUUCUUUUUUUUUUUUGCUAAUUUAGUUAACAGUAGAUCUAAGCGAAUUAUCAUUCUUUAUAAGGUUUAGCUUGAAUGGUUGGACCGGUCGGGUUCUAAUAAUAUCAAUUAGACAAUGGUCAGAUUGGGUUAAGUCACGUUGUCAAUUAAUUUGUUCUCGUUCUUUGGGGGCCCGGCCCGAAGCGAGAGCAUUUUGGGCUCUAUCACGGCCUAAUUGGAUGGAUGGUCUCUGUUUGAAUGGUACAUAUUUACAAAUUACAAGCCAGUUCUAAUAGUAGAUUGGUAAAUUUCAAAAUAGUUUUUGAAUUAGAAAUUGUGAAAAUUGAGAGAUACCAAGGGUCCUAAAUAGUGAAAAUUGACUUGCCAUAAAAAUGAUUGGACAUUACUAUAAAAAUAUCAAACUUGUUUUAAUUAUAUGAAACAAUUUUUAUUCUCUAAAAACUUAAGCUAUCAGAUGAUGGUAUUUUUAUAUUUAUAUUAUAUAUCACUUAUGUGGCUUAUGACAAUCUUUUAUCAUACUAAAAGGCCAAAUAUUCUUGGAGCUCAAAUACCUUAUUUUUUGAAAUAUAUGAAUAAUGAAGGUUCGAACUAUUGAUCUCAAAUAUAAUGCUCGCGGAGUAGUCGUUGUAACUGUCCAAAACAUAUUAUUAACAUUUAGUAGGAUGGACCGACUGUCUCUAACGCAAGUGGCAAAGAAUUUGGUGAUUGAUAUCUGAUGUCCUAAGUUCGAAUCCUAGCUGAUUCACAUUUCCAGCUAAGUUUAUUUCUAGAAGAAAUAAACGAAGCGGGUAACAUGCUACCCUUCUUUCAAAAAAAAAAACAUUUAGUCGGAUGAUACGCACCAUUCAGAAAUAGUCUCAUAUACCUUGAAGUAUAGAAUUUUUACUAUUAUAAACUUGAGCCUCAUCAUAAUUUCAAGAGCGAGCCAUUCCAUUGUAAGAACCUCCAUACUUAAUCUUUAAGUACAAGGUGAGUUUGGAUAAUCUAUUUUGGGCAUGACCGCAUCGACUAUUAUCAUUCUUGGAAAAUACUCUACUCACUUGAAAUAAAAACUAUCUAAUUUUAGUAAUUCAUUAACCUCGAUCUAUUAAACACAACACUAGGGAUUAAUUAUCCAACUUCACUACAUUUAUUUCCUCACCACUUUGAUCCCUUCAUCAUCAUCUUAUAAAACAAAGAAUAUUUUUGACCCUUCGCCCACAUGUGCAAAUGGCGUUCGUGGUACUCUCAUCCUUCUUCGUGUUCGUUCUAAUUGGAGGUAAGUGUUUGGCCUCUUUAUAUAUAUUUCUACAACAUGUACGUAGUUUAUGGUUUAUUUGCUCCCCUUUGUAAUUGGUAUUAUCGAUUCUAAUAUAAAAUAACAACGUAGGAAUAGGUUAAUUGUUCACAUGGUAUAGUCCAAAUGAAUUAUUCUACAUGCGCCAGCGAAAACAGAAACAUAAAUAUAUAGCUUCAUUGAAGUGUAUAUCAAAUGCGGAGAAUCAAACGCGCGACCUUGAAGAACUGGAGAGCUAGGACAUAAUCUCCACAAUUACUGGUAUAUAUGGUUAUUCGUUGAUUAAACGCUAGAUAACAAACUAAUGUCCAUCAACGAUCAACAGUGUAAAUUUUCAUCUCAGGUUCGAAUGCGGCGACUAUAACCAUAACUAGCCAGUGCAAUUACACGAUCUGGCCCGUGAUCUGGUCGAAUCCGGGUUCGCCCGGUUUCCCCAACAUGUUCACAAGCAUCAAACUCCGCACAACCGAGUCCAAACACUUUAACAUCCCACACGGGUCGGGCUGGAUCUGGGCCCGGACCCACUGCACCAACUUCGGUAAUUCGUCGAGCACAUUUGUCUGCGCCACAGGCAACUGCCGCACCGGAGCAUUCUCCUGCGGCACAGGCCUGUCGCCGCCCAUCACCUUUGUUGAGCUCAAUAUUGGACCGUCCGGCAAACCUAACGGCGACGCGUACCAAGUCAGCGUCGCCGCGGGGUUCAACGUGCCGGUUGACGUCACCCCGCGAUAUGGACCGGAUUGUAGUAAUGCCGCGUGUGCGACGGACAUCAAUGCGGUGUGCCCGCCGGAGUUACGGGUGGUGAGGCGGGCCGGAGGGCCCACGAUCAGGUGCAUGAGCGGGUGCCAGGCCUUGGGGGACGAGGCCGACUGUUGCCUGGGCCGGUAUUGGGGGCCCGAUAAAUGCAGGCCCACUAAGUUUGCACUCAUGCUCAAGAGCCUGUGUCCCUCGGCCAAGAGCUUCGUUUACGAGAAUGCUUUUCGUUACUGCAGUGGGGGUUGGGAAUAUCUCGUGACAUUUUGUCCUGAAUAUUAGAUAAGAUGUAAUAUUUCGAUUUCAAGUGUUGUUUCCAGUUUACAGAAAAAACAUAUGGGUUAUUCAGGAAUGAUGAUGCCCCGCGUUUGAUUUUGUCCUUGGUAUUAGUUAUUCGCGCGUUCAGGUGGGUUGAUUUCGUAAAAACAAAUAGAGCUGAAAAAAUAAGAAACAAAAAAAAAAGAAUACAAAUAAAAAAAAUUGGAGAAGAAGCAGCUGCAGCUGCAGUUGAAGUAAAAAUAUAAGAAUAAAAAUAUAAAAAGAAUAGAAAAUGAAUAAGUGAAAAAUUAUAAAAAUAAUAUAUUAUUUAAAGAAAUAAUAAAAAUUGAGAAUUAAAAUAUCACAUGUCUUAUAGUUCGAGGCAUAAAUUAUAAUUAAUUAAAGUUUGAGGACUAAGCGUCACGUACCUCAUAGUUUGAAUAAGAAAAUAUAACUCAUUAAAAUUUGAGAACUUAAGUGUAGCGCGUCUUAUAGUUUGACUACCAAAAGCAUAAUUUAUCACUUUUAUAUUUUAAUUUUAUUUCAAAUGUAGACAAAGUUAAGCAUGGAUCAAUUUUGUUAUUACUUUAUGUAAUUUUUACAACUAAAUUUAUUAAAAUAAAUACUUAAUUUAAACUCCAAAUUUCUCUUUUAUUUUUUAUUGUACAAUUUAUAUUUAAUUGAUCAAUAUUAUAAAAUUUAAAUUUAUAUUCAAUACAUGCAAUGUAACUAUUUAAAAGUCAUAUAUAAAUAAUUAUAUUGUUUUAAAUUUUUAUAAGGAAAUAAAAAAAAAAUUAGAUUGAAUUAAAAGAAAAAAAAUCGGAUUCCUCAAUCCAAAUCAAAGUAUCAAAUAAAAAAAAAAGGACUUGAGCCACUCCCACCCCCACCCAACUGAGCCCCAUACUCACCCCCAACCUCACCCCCUCCCUUUGCCCCUCCAACUCCGUGCCACAUGGAUAACAAAAGUGAGGAUUCAUUAUAUGUAAUAGAUAUGUGUGUAGUAAAAGUGGGGAUUUAUUAUAUAUAAUAGAUUGAAUAAAAAAAAAAAAUCCGAUUCUUCAAUCCAAAUUAAAGUAUCAAGUAAAAAAAAAAGAACUUGGGCCACUCCCACUCCCACCCAACUGAGCCUUAUACUCACCCCCAAUCCUACCCCCUUCCCCUGCCCCUCCAGCUCCAUGCCACGUGGAUAACAAAGUGAGGAUUCAUUAUAUCUAAUCCACCUCCCACCCAACUGAGCCUUAUACUCAGCCCCAAACCCACCCCCUCCCCCUGCCUCUGCCCCUGGCCCUGCCGAGGAAUUCUACACUGUCACACUUAUACCACGUCAUCAAUAACAAACCAAUCACAUCCCUUCUUUUCAAACAAAAGUACAAUAAAAAUAUUUUUUUACAAUUGUGAUGGGACAUAUAUCUCUAAAAGAAAAAUUUUGAUUGGUUUGUGACGCCACGUCACCAAUGCACCCGAUGCAUUCUAGAAUUUUUCGCCCCUGCCCCUCUAGCUCUGUGCCGCGUGGAUAACAAAGUGAGGAUUCAUUAUAUGUAGAGUAAAUGAGUAAUAAUUCAAUACACCAUGUAAAUUUUGAUCAUUUAUUUUUUAAAUAGAUGGUUGAAAUAUAAUAUGAUUAUAAAGGCGACAUACUAUUCUGGCAUAGGUACCAUUCACCAGGUACCUAUUUAAAAGGUAUUUUGGUUUUAGAAAAAUAUUUUGGUGUACAAAACUAGUUUUAUCCAACUAAAAAUACUAUAACCUUCUCAAAUACCUACAAUAAUAGUUGGACUUUAAAUUACAACUAAACUGUAAAUUUAAAUACAAAUCAACAUAAAAAACUUAAUUAUAAAUCAAAUUCAACUUUUAAAUAUAAAACAUAAAUUUUAAAUAAAACUUUCAGUUCAAAUUCAAAAUUUUAAUUUAAAUCAAAAAUUAAAAUUUGGCUUUCAGAUUAAAANACCUAUUUAAAAGGUAUUUUGGUUUUAGAAAAAUAUUUUGGUGUACAAAACUUAAAAUUUGGCUUUCAGAUUAAAAGUGCAAGAUAGAUUCAAAAUUUAAAAGUUUAAUAUAAAUUUUGAAAUUAAAAUUUUACAUUACAGUACCAACUUCAAAACUUAAAUUUAAAUUCAAUAUUUUUUUGAGUUGGAUAACAAAUUGGGUAUUAUCUAAUAUGGUAAGUAACAAAACUAAAUAAGAUACUUAAUAUUAUAUGAUGCUAACAAAUUUAGUAUAUAUUACUAAUUUUUUUCAAUAUUGUCAUAUUAACUAAUUCAAAUCGGUAACCUGUUUAAUAGGUUACUUUAUGUAAAAUACAAUUAUACCCUUUACUAAUUAAGAGUUUGAUUUUAAUACUUAUAGUGUAUUGAAGUAUUGCUCUUAUAUAUAAUCCACUCCCCACCCAACUGAGCCUUAUACACACCCCCAAUCCCACCCCCUCCCCCUGCCCCUCUAGCUCCGUGCCACGUGGAUAACAAAAGUAAGAAUUCAUUAUAUGUAAUAGAUGUAAUAGAUAUGUGUAAUAAAAAUAAGGAUUUAUUAUAUGUAAUAGAUUGAAUUAAAAAAAUAAAUCGAUUCUUCAAUUCAAAUUAAAGUAUCAAGUAAAAAGAAAAGGACUUGGGCCACUCCCACCCCCACCCAACUGAGCCCCAUACUCACCCCCAACCCCACCCCCUUUCCCUGCUCCUCCAGCUCCUCCGUGCCACGUGGAUAACAAAAGUAAAGAUUCAUUAUAUGUAAUAGAUAUGUGUGUAACAAAAGUGAGAAUUCAUUAUAUGUAAUAGAUAUGUGUAUUUUUAUUCUCCAAUGUGUGAAAGAGAGUCCCGUCCUAGUCAUUUAUAGAAGCAAUUAAGGACCAUAAUUUAUUUGUAAUCUGCUGUAGAUAGAAAGGAGGAUACACAUUAAAUAUGCGGUAACAUGGCACACUGCUUCAAUUACAUAACGUCCAUUUCACACUUUGCAAAUGACCCAAUAAUGGCGCACCAAAUCCUUUUAAGUUAAUACUUUCUUCUUUACCAUAACCUUAUAAAUUCACAUCCUCUGCUUACUCCCCUUUUACAUUUUCACCACAACCCUCUCCUUAGCCAUUUCGCAUUUCAAAUCUCCCUUGUGUCUUCAAUGAUGGACUCUAAAGCCUUCUCCUUUCGCUUCUUCUUUUUCUUCAUAAUUUUCGAAGGUAAGGAACAAACGAAAAAGUUUAUAGCUUGUACUCGGUGCAUCUGUAUAAUACACAUUGUGCUCACGAAAAUACAGUGCAUAAAUAUAAAAGUAAAGUGGAGUGUAAAACAAUUUUGCUCAAAUUUUUGGUUCGGUCUCAGGUGCGCUUGCAGGAACACUAUUAAGUGUAAGAAACAACUGCACGUACAUAGUCUGGCCCGCGGUCUUGACGAAUCCAGACACACCCAGCCCGCCGGCAGAGUACUCGGGCUUUGAGCUCCCGGUCCAAGGGACUGCCUUCCUUCACAUGCCGGCGGGCUGGUCAGGCCUUUUGUGGGCCCGAACUCUCUGCGCCGUCAACAGCUCUGGCUCCUUCCUCUGCGCCACCGCCGACUGCCGCACGGGGCGGCUCGACUGCCGCGCUGUGCCGUCAGCCCCUGUCACGCUCAUCGAAUUCAGCCUCGGUGCGGCCGGCGGGAAAAAUGACGCAUACGACGUGUCCAUCGCCGCUGGUUUCAACGUGCCGGUCUCCGUGGAUCCACCGCCCAGGUCGCCGUCGUGCACCCCCGCGGCGUGUCCGAUGGACGUGAACGCAGUGUGCCCGCCGGAGCUGCAAAAGGUCAGCGGCGACGGGCACGUGAUCGCAUGCAUGAGCGCAUGCCAGGCCUUCAGCGACCCGGCGGACUGUUGUUUGGGCCAGUACAAGGACCCAUCCAAGUGCAAGCCCACCAAAUAUGGCCAGAUGUUUAAGCAUGCAUGUCCUAUGGCCGUGGGGUAUAUUUAUGACAAUGCUACUCGUUAUUGCCAAGGGGGUUCUGAUUAUUUGGUCACAUUUUGUCCUCAAAUGUAACUUUCCCAUUUAAACUCAUCAAGUUACAUUUCAAUUAUUCUUUGCACAGUUGGAGCAUGUCUAAAAGUGGCAAAUUUUGCUCCAUCUUCGCCGUUAUUUCUUGGUAAACUGCAUGAGGGGAACCUGACCUUAAUUUUCAGAAAAUUACACUUUGGUCACGCAACCUUUCAAUUAUUAUAAUAAAUUUUGGUCGCGAAUAAUGCAUAUGAGCUGUAAAUAUUACGACAUCUUCUACAGUUAUUUAUCCUAAUUAUUGAGAAAUUCAGUGCAUUUCAAUCAUAAACAACGACAUCUUCGAAUUUCAACAAGGAAAUUAUAUGCAGGAAAGCCAAAAUGAUGUCUCAGAAAAGGAGUUCCAUGUUAACCACAUCUCCUUUCAGCCUUCUUGUGGAGGCGGUGCCGCGAAUGGUGCCGGUGCUGCGAAUGGCGGCGCCGGCGAUGCUGCGAAUGGUGGUGGCGACGCAAAAGGCGGCGCCUGUGUUGCACCAAAGAUACCUGGAAACCAAGUCACAACAAGAAGCUCUUACUGGAUUUGAAGGAUAAAGAGAAAUGCUAAGUCCUCGGCUAUGUGAACAAGAGAGAAUGAAGCAAAGAGUUUUGUUAAUUAUGAGAAGAAUUAAUGGCUAACCACAGAGGAGAAGGUUAUCAGGCGGCGGGCGCUCCUUGGCUGGGUUGGGAUCAGGAUCGUGGACUCGCAAGUACAUCUCCUCGCCUAAGUACCAAUUCUCAAGGAUCUGCGAGCGCAGGUUCCACAUGCCCGGGUUGUCGAGGUAUGCAUAUACUGCUGUCCAUCCCUUAGGAUACACCUAAAUCCAGAAGAUAGUUAGUUUCAGGGGCAGAGAGAGAGAAAGAGAGAGAGAGAGAGAAACCUGAACGGUGGAGCGCACGACAGGAUCGAGUAAAUUGUAGGUGUCUCUUGAGGCAGGGGUCCAAUCGCCGUCACCAAAUCUUCAAAUUAACCAAAUGAUUCAAUCAGUUUGGUCCUCUUACACAAGGUGUCAAAAGUAACAUUUUAAAGUUCCUACUAUAGCUGAUUUUUUUGAUUUUUCUGUAGAAAUGAACUAACUGAAAAAUAGUAUUCAUAAGAAUGUGAUUCUUACCCAACCACAUAGAAGCCGAAACCAUCAAGAUGCCAUGAAUCCAUGAAAUCAAUUUCAUUCUUGAAAACAAUCUCCAGCCAACUCUUAUGAACUCCAGUGACCACCGAAGUCCCCAGCGCGGCUUCUUGAUUUACAGAGCUAGUUGGGAAGGCAUCAAGCUGGUAGACCCCGCUACCGUUCACAAAGUAGUCAGCAAGUUUGAGUGGGGUUGAGGGUGUCAUGUAGGAGACAUUGUUCACGGUGUAGCAGCGAUGGUUAUUCAGUUCUGCUUUAGAACCAACCAAGAUAAAUGUCUUUGAGAUAUUAGCAUGUCUCACGUUGAAUGUGCCCUGUGGGUUGGGCCUCGCAGCCCCUGCCGUCAUGUUCCACCUUCAAAACCAUAGUCAAGAAAUAGUUAACUACCUUCAUAUGAUUAAAUUUCACCGGACAUGAAAAAUAGUUGGCAUCAAAGCUUCGAAUCAAUAACUGAAGGCAAUACCUUAAUUGUUAAAUUUUUCGCAAUUUAAAGAAUUACCAUUCUUUCGUUAUAUUCGUAAUUUGAUGAUGCAGCUAAAUUUCAUUGGCAUAAAUAACACAUGCUCGAAUUUCGUAUUUGAGCAAACAAUGUUCACUCUUUCCAAGUGAAAGAGAUGAGAUUUUCUUAGCACACCUAAUUUGGCAUAUAUAGGUGAAAUUACCUGAUUGACCUCGCCUGAUCGAUGGAGAACUCGCGGUCCAACUGAUCAGGCCCCAGCGGAAGGGGUCCACUUAACUGGGCUUGCGACUUCAUGUAAUGCAGUCUCGCAAGACCAUUGAUGUUAGGGUAAUUGCUAGUAUCAAUUUGCGUUGGACUAGCCACAAUAUAAUAGUCUGAUUCCUGCUGGUUUGCCGUGAAUAAAACAGAAUACGAUUGGCCAACAUGAACAUCAAGUGAGUCCAGCACAAUCUGAUCAGUGUAGGAUCCUUCAGUCUCCACUAAAGUCAUUUGAUGGUCCUGAAUUCUGAAAUUAAAACUCAAUGCAUUUCCAACAUUUGAAAUCCUCAAGCGGUAUGUCUUCCCUGAAAAGAGAAGAAUGGGAAAAGUUAAUAAUAUAAAUACAUAAAGAAAACAAUAGAAAUAUAUAAGAUGAGAUAAUUAACUGCCCUUUUGGCCUGGCUUGUGGAAUAACUCCACUUCAAAAGGCAUUAGAAUUUACAAACCAUGUGCUUGACUAGAUUUUAAAUAAAACUGCAAAGAAAAUGUGCUUCUUUCAACUGCUCACAGUCAAAUGGAACUCCGCAAAAGCUCCAGAUAAACCAAACAAGCCCUACGUACUAAUGAAUUUUAAUAGCUGCUUAUCAGUGUAUGUGUGGGCAUGUAUCAUUUGAGAAAUUACUGCUACUUGGAUGAGACAUUUUAGCUGCUGUAUUUACAAUAGUUAUACUCACCAUUCUCCACUCUAAGGAACUCAUAUUUUCCUCCCCAAACAUUGUUAUAAGGGGCCUUUCCAUUGAUGAGAAUGUACCUUGCAGGAAUAAGACUGAAAUGCUUGCUUGAUACAAUUUGCCGAACCGCCUGCAGACAGCACUACAAACUAAAGGUCAUCCAAUUACAUAUACCUCUUGCACCCUUAGUACCAUCUAGCAGUACUGUGUUGGACAUAAAAAGGAAUCACUUUGAUCAACAAAAUGACAUAUCUUAAUGUCAAGGUAGGCGGCAACAUUCAUAGAGUAAAUCUAGAUAAAAAAGAUACAGGUCUUUUCAGAAAAUAUCUCCAACGAAUUUCAGUAACUUAUUUUUGUUUUGAUUAGACCUGCAGGUCAAUUGGCCCGUAGGCUCACAUGCUCUGAAGAUACUGCCCCGCCCAGUAAUCGAUACCGGAUCCCCAAGGUACCCUCCAGAACUCUUAGCUACUUGGGCUAGAGCUAGAUGGUAUUAACUAACUCUUUUACUUAACAACACUUACAUAGUUAAUUGGAUAAAGGAACAUACCUUGUAAGGAACAUUAUGCCAAUCCCCUACAAGGAGAUCAAAUUCUGCUUCUGGUUUGGGGAAAGGCACAGCGAUCACAUUGCGAUUGUUGACUCUAAUUGGACCGAACCCACCCGCAGCCUUUUGAAAUUUGGUCGAGAGGAAAUAGAAGAAGCUUCCGAUUUGGUCUUUCACUUGAAACACAUAUGUCCAGUUCCUACCAGGCUCUAUGGGACAGUUAGUACCAGAAACUCCAUCUUGCCAUGAGUUGAGUCUCUGUUGUAUGCCGUUCCUGCAUAAAAUAAUCUACAAUUUAGUAGGUUGUAGUUCAUUUCCCCCCUACCUUUCAAAAUUUUAGUAACAGAAAAACCUGGUUUUAAUGCAAUUGUUGCUUUCAUCUUUUAGCCCCACAUGAGUAUGAUUCAAAAAAUUUUUCUAAAUCUUGGUGAUUACGCACAACAUUAUGGAUAUAUAUGAAAAAAAAAAUGAAUUACAGAAGUCAAAGAACAUAUAUUAGCUACAGAAGGGGCUUGCUAUUGCAUAUGAUUUAAUUGGCAAAUAUACAAAAAAAAAAGAAAAAAAAGAAGUGAAGAACAACUUGGAAUAGACAGAAUUUUCUCAAAAAGUUGGAACGAACCAUACAUAUAUAAUUGGCCCUUCACUUAUAGAAAGCAUUGGAGAACAUUGUUAAUUUACACGGUAUAAGAAAAGGAAGUCUUCAAUUUCGAAGUCCCAUUAAGCUUCUAAGUAAACACUCUAUUCAUAUUCCAGAUGUGUUGGGAUACGUAAAAUGUAAUUCAUCUUUCUCUAAUAAUUAAGCUUUUUAAAAAAAUACAUACCAUGUCAUGAGCAAUGGUUCAUCAAUGUUAUUGAAGAUGUUCACAUGGAUCACGUCAUUUGUAGUUGAAUUGAUGAGGGGUCCGGGGAACAUUCCAUUAAUGGUGAUGACCUGAAUGAACGAAUUUACAGUUUUCGAUUAGCAAUUUAACACUUAAAUACGUAUAUUAUUCUAGACAAUAUAAGCAAGGAAACGAUUGUUACUGUAGAAUAUACAUACUGGUUGAUGCAUAAAAACAGGUCUAAUAUUCCAAUCAAAGGAGACAUUCCACUCAAGAAAGAUGUCAAUGGCUCCAGUUCCUGUGGCAAGAAGCGCAAGUACUGAACAUAUUACGAAAAUGCAUGGAAGGCAACACCCCAUGGCUUCGGAUAGAUUUCUUUGCUUAGAGACCUUCUCAUUAGUGCAAAAGGUGCAAGGCCCUUUAUGUUCUAUAUAUGCCAUCUGCAGUUCGUUCUUUGAGAACUGGUGGAAUUCUCCAACAAAAGAGAUGAUAAUAAGCCAAAGGACAAAAAAACACAAGAAACUCUUCCAUUCGUUAAUAACAAUGCAACAAUUAGUUAGUCUUCUAGUAAAACCGGCAAAUACUAGAUAAGCCAAUUAAGCCUGUGCUUAGAUGAAAGUCACACCUCUUAUCUUCUACAAUUUCUAGGAUAACUAAAUACGCAAUCUUGUGUAAUAAGUCUGUCCACAGUUGGCAUUAUUCUACACAGAGGAGUAUGACACUUUAUCGACUAAUGACAGAUGAAUUUCAUGGUCUCAUCAUUAGACAAAAUGAGCAUGGAGUGGGCGGAAAAGUUGGCUUAUUGACAACCUUUCUGAUCAAAUGUGCCAGCAAUGGGAGAAAGCAGGCCUUGCUAUGGUAGCAUUCUCGCAGUCACUGAGUAGCGAUAGUAUCACAAGAAUUAACAAAUUUAUGUCUUCUUUUGCACAAGCUGAGCAAGUUCUAAGAGGGGCCAAUCUAGAUUGAACCAACUAAUACACUUCUCUCAUUAAAUCAACAAUCAACUAGCCCCUCAAUUUUCUGCAGUGUGUCCCCUCUCCUGAACAACUGCAAUUAGGUUCAGAUCACAUGUCGCAAGUUUUUUUUCUGAACUAACACAUACCCACAACAUAGCGGAACAGAAGUAUAGAACAAUACCAUAGUUUUACAACCAGAAGAUCUGCCAAACAGAUAAAAUACUUAAAUUUAACAUAAGGGAAUUCACAAUGAUGAACUGUGCUUCAACUUGAAUUCAGAAUUGUCCAAGAAUUACAUUGUAAAGAUGGUAUAACUAAAAGACAAAUGUACUGAUCCUUCCAAAGACCGAAGACUGAAGUAUUGAUCUUUCCAAAGGCAUAUGCAGCCACUUCUGAAGACAAUUUCAUAUGGAUUUUCCUAGGUACAGCUACCAGAUACACCCAUAGCUUUGAAGUUUCAGCACCUUUCUAGAUCAUUGAUAUUCACAAAAAAAUAUUUAAUAAACUAGAGAUUGCAGCAGUGAUGCACUGUAUAUAACUUUUCAGCGUGCAAUAAGAUAAUAAAGAAGAUUAGAAUGCCUAGCAAAAUUACAAGUCUUAACAACAGAAAAAUCUUAACAAAAUUCCAUAAAUUUUAUCAUGGAUGGGACCAACCACAUCUCUGUGCCCAUCGAAUAGGGAGCCUAGAAGAUAGUUCUAAAAUGCAUUGAAACUAAUUCUCUUAAGAAGAAGAUGAAUAUCUCCAAAAGGCAGCUAUCUUAGAUCCUGAAAUAACACAGCCCACAAAAGACACAGUGGAGCAAUUAGAAAGUAAUCGUUAGAACACUAACCAACAGAAAAAGAGACAGUACUCAUGCAACAGAACAUCAAUUGGCUGAAAAUGCUACUAACCUCUCGGCGUAGCUAACCAUAAUACAAUAAGACCUAAAUUGUCUACAGAAACAAUUUCCAAGGAAAUUGAAGCCGAAUGUAAUUAUCUAAAACAGAUAAUUGGUAAAAGCCCUCCCAAUCCCAGCAAUACCAAAUUGUUCAGCACAAUUAGUAGCUCAGGAGCUCGUCUUACAGGUGUUGAUCCCAUCCUUGCAAUCGCUGGUGAGAUCAUUGAAUGUCUCAAUCUGCUUCUUCCCCCUCAAAAACACCUCAGUGUCUACUUCCAUCCUCAUAUAACCAUCAAACUCCACCGGAACCCCAUUAUUCAGGUUCUUCAUCUCCGUAUACCACUCGCUGUUCUCGCCCCACAAGUCCUUGAAGUCAUCGAGGAAGUGUGUCGUGUACUUAUCCUUCAGAGGGUCAAAAAAGGAUGUGCCUGGCUCAUUGGUCGCGAUGUACAGAUGCCUGCCAUCAUCGAUUUUGUUCCCAAGAGUGGCAAGCAGAGCCUCCGGCGAGGUGUCUGCCGCCAAAUUGGGCCACAGUGCAGUGUUCUUGGCCUUCUCCCCUCGCACCACAUGCACGGCAUCGAAAUCCCAGUUCAUCUUUGAUGCGAUCCCCGACACUAUAUCCAUCAACCGACGCGAUUUCCAGAGGAGGUGCCACGGGCGCUGGAUCACCGACUCUGUCUCCCCCUCGCAAACUCGAUACCAGUAGUUAUCUGGCUCCACCGAUCCAAACUUCCUCAUAAUAAGUGUAUCCUUCACUUCAGCGAGCUUCAUCGGCGUGACGUGGAAGUCCUCGACGAGGUGGAGGCUGAGCCGGUCCUUUUUCCGCCACUGCGUCCAAUCGGCCCAGAACUGGCUGUGAUUGAGAACCGAAGCGGAGUCCCUCAAAUGCUCGAAAUCGAAGUAGAAUCGAAAGUCCUUUCCCUCCUCAUCUUGCUUAGUCGAAGUAUACAUGGAAUUGAGGCAGAUGCUGAGAUCCAUGACCAGUGUUCGGUUGAGAUACUGGGCCUCGCCCAGCGAGCAGAGGAAGCUCCAGAGGUAGUGGUUCAUGCUCUUGCAGCGAUCGCCGCCGCCGACAUAGAUGAGGUACCUGCCGCGGCUGAACCCGGACUCGGACUCCACGACGGGGAGGGUGUCGUUGACGGUGUCGCCGACGACGGGGACGACGACGGCGGCGGCGCCGGCGGGCGCGGCCUCGGAGGCGGGAGGCGUGGCCGCUCCUGAAGGAGUUGAGGAGGAGGAGGCCGCGCGGGGGGAGGUAGGUGGAGAGGCUGCAGAGGCAGGGGCGGCGGCGGCGGCGUCGGCUCCGGACGCUGCGGCUGCGGGGCGAGUUGACGCGGCUGGGCCUCUAGAAGGUGGAGUACUACGCGCGGCGGUAGCUCCGGAAGGGGCUGUAGGUGAAGAUGGCGAAGCCGUUCGGGCGGGGGCCGCGGCGGCGGCGGCCGCCGUCGACGCUGUACCGCACCGCGAAGGCGGGGUUCCUGCGGUUCGCGCGGCGGAAGAUGUUCCUGAUGGCGGCGAAGCUGUAGCGGGCGAGGGGGUUAACGUGGAUGAGGCAGCGGUUCUAGCCGCUGAUGGUGAGGCCGCAGUUGCGGGCGUUCUUCUUCUUGUUCUUCGGGGCGGGGCCGUCGGGGGGGCUGCGGCUGCCGAAGCCGGGCGCCUGGCGGUCUAGCCGGNGUGGUUCAUGCUCUUGCAGCGAUCGCCGCCGCCGACAUAGAUGAGGUACCUGCCGCGGCUGAACCCGGACUCGGACUCCACGACGGGGAGGGUGUCGUUGACGGUGUCGCCGACGACGGGGACGACGACGGCGGCGGCGCCGGCGGGCGCGGCCUCGGCCGAUCUGGCGGUCCGCGGGCCGAAGCCGUCGGCGUCGGGGGGGCUGCCGGGGCGGGGCUUCUUGUUCUUCUUCUUGCGGGCGUUGACGCCGGAGUGGUAGUCGCCGAUCUUGGCGACGGAGUAGGUGCAAUUGGGGGAGCGGGCGAUGUCGAAGCGGCGGUAGUCCUUGUAGAAGGCGGCGCGCUUGGCGUCCUUGGGGCGGAAGCGCCACGCCAUGUCGCAGCUGCCGCCGGCGGCGGCGGCGCCGGGGGCGGGCUUGCCGAAGCGGUAGAAGUGGAUGUCGGGGAAGGCCUCGAUGGCGGCGCGCAUCAUGAGGUGGAAGAUCUCCGGGUCGGCGCAGUUGAGCGGGGCGUCGGCGUCGCAGGCCUCGGCUGCGGCGGCGGCGGCGGGGACGGAGACGUCGGAGAGGUGGAUGGAGGGGGGCGCGCCGGAGGAGGAGGAGUUGAGGAAGUCCUCGCCGGUGCGGAGGGCGGAGGAGUCGUCGGCGGGGAGGGUGGAGGAGGAGGUGGUGGAGGUGAGGAAGGAGGUGAGGGAGCGGGAGGGGGAGGAGUUGGGGCGGAGGAGAAGGGGGUCGUCGGGGGAGUAGGAGGCGGCGAGGAGGGUGAAGGCGAGGACCCCGAGCACGAAGAGCGCNCGCCCCCCCCGCCGCCCCAGACCCCGCGCCCCGAGUGCAUUUGUCCACUGGAGGGAGGGUCGUGCACAGUGUGGAGUGAAAGCAAGGAGAGAGAGCGAUGGGCUGUUUGGAUCUGAGGAGUCGGUUAGAUCUGGUGAUUUAGAAAGGAAUCGAGCCGACACUUUCAGUGUUUUUUUUUAUCUUCUUUUCCCCCUUCUUCGGUUUAUUAAACAAUUAUCUAUUCCAUGGUUUUACUGAGGGAGGUGGCACUGCAGUGUUUAGACGAUCUAAUUAUCUAUGCCAUGGUUUUAUUACUGAUCACUAAUGCCUAGUUACGCACUCCCUUGCUUAACUUUUAAAAUAUAAAAAGUAUUUUCAAAUAUUUUUCAGUAAGAUAAUAAUAAUUAUUAUUGGCAGAAAAAUACAAUACUCUCUGUAUAUAUUAUUAUAAGAUAAACUUUUACAUAAUACACCCCAUAAUCUAAAAUUUUAUUUUUAAAAAUUUUAAUACUAAAAUUAACAUAACAAGUGAAUAAAUAAAGCCAUUUGAAAGACUAGAAUGUAGAAUUUUAUACAUAAUUUAUGUUUAUAUAGGUGCACAAGUAGUAUUACUCUUCAUAGGGUUCGUUUAGCUCGCGUAUCUGUAUUAAAUUAUUGAUUUUUUUUUUUUUUACAUUUUAUACCGUUUCGGUAAUGCUGGUUAUUUCUUAAAAUAUGAUUACAAAUUUGGUCAGACAGGUAGGCCCCGAUUUUGUUGUCCGUGGGCCGUGGCUCCUGGGCUCAAUGUUUCAAGUUUUCAGACCGUGACAUGUCCUGGCUACACGUUAGGCCACGUGGUAGAGAUUAUAUGAUUAUCAAAAAAUUUUACUUAACUAUCCUUUUUUAUAAUAAUUUUUUUUGAUAGAAAUAGAAAUAAAAGGAAAAACUUCAAAAAUCCCCCUGGGAUUUCGUAGUUUCUUACUUUGCCCCCCUGUGGUUUAAAAUGUACCAAAUUGCCUCUCUGUGGUUUCGUUUUUAUAUUUUCAGUAGUUUUUUUGUUAAUAUUUUAUUAAUUAUAUACAAAAUACUUCAAAUACCCAUCUAGAUUUAUCAAAUAUUCACUUUAGUACCCUUUAAUUUUAACUUUAUCACUGAUUUAAGAAAAAAAAUUAAUAAAAUUGAUAAGAAAAAGAGAAAAAAGAAACCAUAGGGGGGCAAAUUGAUACAUUUUAAACCAUAGGAGGACAAAGUGAGAAACUACGAAACCACAUGGGGUUUAUUGAAGUUUUUCCGAAAUAAAACUCUAGAGCAAUUAAGUGUAAACAAUAGUUACAUGCCACAAACAAUACCUUUUUUCUUUUUUCUUUUUUCCUACCGUCACGUGCCACAAACAAUACUUUUCCGAAGUGUUCUAGUCACCAACUCGUAGAAGUUUGAAAAUCAGUAAAUAUUCUAAUAGUAACGACUGGUGCUGAGAUAUGAUUCUAAGUAGCGCCAGCAUUACUAACCAUAGAAUGACUACAUGCAUCUCAGCCCUCAAGGCACAGCUCUCCUCCUUCAAAACUAGACUAGGACCGAACAGUGUGCAUUGGCGGUAGAGCCCUUACGACUGUUUAGUGUGAAGUCAAUGUAUUCGGCACUGUGUGACGGGAGGACAAGGGACGGGCGUAGCUGCAAAAUUUGGAAGCUCUGCAUACCAUUAAAAGUUAAAGUAUUCUACUAGCUCGUCCUAAAAAAGAGACCUCUUACUGUAGAAAAUUUAUUAAAAAAAGGAUGGAUAGCAACAUUAAUUACGUGUUGCGUAGAUCUGAUGUGGAAACAGUAGACCAUCUUUUUUCUCAAUGUGUAUUCUUCAAAUUUCUUAUGGUGAUGUCGUUGGAGGAUGUCCAAACAGGAGAUUUGGGCGAAGCUGUGCAUAUUGUUUGGGACAUAUGGUGAGAAAGGAAGGGGUCACAGUCCAUGAGCGAUGGUUUAUCUGGACUAAUAGCCUGUUGGGGUGGGUCAUCUGAGAGAUCAGGAAUGGUGUUACUUUAGGAGGAAUCAGACUGAUUCAAUCCGUGGUUGCUAUAAGGUUAAACAACUGACGUCCGUGUAGAAGAAACUUUGCCCUGUGGAGAGAUACUGAUUUUUUUUUUUUUUCGUCUUAGCCCUACUUUUCAUCUCCCUAGAGGCCUUGUUGUCUCACCCAUGUAGCUAAGUUCAUCUCCUGAAUGAAUAAAGCGGGUAGUGUGCUAUCUUUUUUCUCAAAAAAGAAAUUGAGUGCUAUUCAAUAAUAAUAAAAAACAGAUGUAUUUAACUUAAUUGCAUUUUUUACAAUUCGUUUCUAACAAAAUAACCUUUAUUUUCCUUUUAUCCUCCACCGCUACAGUCUUCUUCUUCUUCAUGAUUUUUCUUUUUAAAAAAAUCACAGCCAAUUACUUGACAUUUUUUUUUAAAAAAAUAUUUAUGGCUAUGCUACCACAGAAAGAAAAAAUUAAAUUUAUAAAAUAAAAUAUUUUUAUCAUUUUGUUAUAUAAAUAUAAUUUUGUACAAUUUAGUAAAUAUUUUUUAAAAAUAUAUUUAAAUAAUAUUUUAUUAUAGAAUACUAUAUUCUGCAUUGACAUAAAAAAUAAAGCCAGUGCCACGUAGACAAAUACUACUUGUGUGUACAUCAAUUUAGGUGGCGCAUAUCUUACAACACUCAAAUCGAGGAUUAAGAUUUUUUUAUUAAAAAAUAGAAUGUGAUUAGUAUGAAACAAAAUAAUUUUGAAUAAUAAUAUUAUAUAAUAUAUAAAUCAAAAAUCGAAAAUUAACUCACAUGCUGCAUUAGUUGACUUCGUGCAACUCGGUAUUUUGAUCUGGCAUUUGAUUCGAGGUGUCAGAGAGUCGCAAGGACUUUGGGCUCUAUAGAAAAUUUUCCCUAAAAAGUUAAAAAAGUACAAAAUUUACUUCAACUAAGACUCAUCUUAAAUUGACUAUUGAACAUUUCAAAAUUUUAAUUGUAAUCUCCAAUCGUUCAAUUUAUCUCAUAUGAGUCGGUCAACAUUUUUUGGACUUUAAAUUUGGAGGACAUAGUUUAUCUCUACAGAUUUAAUUAAUAUAUAUUUUACAAUUUUCACAAUAUAAACUUAUUAAAAUAAAUAAUUAGUUUAAAUUUUAAAAUUAAAGUACUGUUUACUGACUAAAAUUAAAUAGAUUGAAAGAUUGAAUAGUAAAAUUUAAAUUUUUAAAAAUAAAUUGUCACCUUUUAUGGCCCACGGGUGGUUUAUGACACAUGCCUUACUAGUUCGGCCCCAAUAAAAGCUAAUUCACGCUAGAGAGAAUAUUUUCCGGGCCCAUGAGGAUCCGGGUCGGGUUCGUUCUGAUCGAGCCCAAAUCACCCUCGCUCCCCCGACCCCAAACCCGAUACCAUUCUAUGCGGGCGCUCGCAUGGAAGAAGUCAUUCUUCGGGUGAAGAAACGGUUUCCAUGUUUCGGUCCCACUUCCGUUUUGAACCGCCCCAGACACGCUCCUUGAAUACAAGUCUUCGAGUCUUCCUCAUUCGUCGUUCUUCGCACCUCACUUCCCCCACCUCGUCUCUUCCACCGAAGUCCACUUCCACGCGCGAUCCGAGGACGAAACCCCAUUUAUCUCGACGAGGAUCGCUCCUCCUCUUCUUCGUCACCUCGCGAGAUCGAGAUCUCCCGAUCCUCCCGAUCCCUUCUCGCCCGAUCGUUUAAUCGAUCCGUGAGGUAACGAUCCGAGCUCUCUUCACGAUCCCAUUGUCGUCUCCUAGCUCUUUCUCUUGCUAAAUUUUGAUCUAAAUCAAGUGUCUAGCUCUUAAAUUUGCUUGAUACGAUUCAGACGUUUUGUUGAGAUUAUCUUGUUCCUGUUUGUUUCAUUUGACACCAUGGAUUAUGAUCUAGGAUCGGUGUUAGAUUCAAGUGGUUUCUAUAUUAUAUACUACUUUAAGCGUGGUGAUGAUGAGUUUAUUGAUUUAGUCCUGUUUAAGUUCAUAAUCUUAUGCAAUUGUGUCAGUUGUUGUUUGUUCAUGUUUUUUUUUUUUUUUUUUUUUUUUUUUUUUUGACAUGAUGUGUAAAACUUGUACUUAAACAUUAUCAUUUCUCUGUUAAUCAUGCUCUGAGUAUGAUAGUUGUGUUUCAUCCUGUGAAACACUUGGUUUUGUUCCUUGAUGGACGAAUAUAUGUAUAUUUUUUUUACGAAGAUAAUGAUUGUACUUGUUCGUGUUUCUGGUAAUGAACUAUCUUCCAUCACAUUACUACUAUGGUGCUUACUGUUUGACAUGUCAAUGCAUGAAAUUAUGUAUUCUUUCAGUGAUCAGUAUGGGCGACAAAGAUGUUAAUGGGAGCUCUACUAUCAAUGAGCUAUUAUCCAUGGUCUCUUAUGAUCAAUGGGUUUUAGUCAAUCCCUCUGGAGUGCGCCCAUCGGGUCGUUAUAAGGUACGAGUAUUUCCUUCAUGAGUGUGCCAGUAGUGCAUAUCAUAGUGGUGUUACUUGGUUUUUUGGUUUUUAUAGUUCCUUUUCCUUUGUAUGCUGUGACUUAAUAGAAUGCUCCCUGCUUUGAUCUUCUUCAGCUAAUAUUACUACGUCCACUAGAAGCUAGGUUUUCUACUCUUCCAUUUCUACUUUAGUGUCAGGAUAUAAUAUUCUGUACGAUUCAAUGCUAACAUUUUCUCUCUUUCAAAUACAAUAGCAUGCAGCUGAAGUGGUCGAGGACAAGCUCUAUGUGAUUGGAGGGAGUCGCAAUGGCCGUUAUCUAGCUGACGUUCAGGUUACAUAUACUAACUGAAUCUUUAAUACAGUGUCUCUUUUUAUAGAUGACUAGACAUGACAACUUUCGCAGGUUUUUGAUAUCAGAAGUUUGGAAUGGUCAAAUAUAAGUGCAAACAUGGAUACAAAAUCUACUAAAUCAGAUAGUUUUGUCUCAGAUCAAGCCUUUCCGGCAUCUGCAGGGCACAGUUUGGUGGGUUUCUUUUUGUUGAAUAAUCGCAAACACUUGAUUAGUUGCAGCCAUUUUAUUUGUUGUUGAUGUUAAUACAUUCACUGAGUUCACCUGUCCUAGUUAACUCAGCAUUGUUACAUUGAACAGGUUAAAUGGGAAAAUAAGCUUGUGGUUGUUGCUGGGCAUUCCAAGGAAUCAUCAGAUACUGUCAGAGGUCUAUUUCCAACUGUAAUGCAUCGAUAUACUUCUAUCUAUUUAGGCUGACUGCGAAAAAGAAUUUGUGGAUGACAAUGGUCUCUUCAUUUGCUACAAAAAAUAGCGUCUUAAAUUGUUCGAGGCUACUAUUGUAAAUUUGUAAUGUAUCUCCUACUAAAUUACAUGGAAUGCAGUUUGGUUGCUCGAUUUAGAAACAAACAGCUGGUCUGCUGUAGAUACCUCUGGAAAAGUUCCGGUAAUUUCUAAUCUCUGCUUCUCAACAUUUAAUCAAUCACGGAACAUCAAUUUUCACUUCUCUCUGAAAACUUGAAAGCACGAGGAGGAGUUGCCAAUUCAAAAUCAAGUGAAUAUUCAAGUGCAAAAAAAAGGGACAUAACACAAAAUAUUGUGAAACAUUGAAUAUUUGAUUUACCUUUUGUGAACCAGAAAGCACGAGGAGGGCAAUCUGUGACAUUGGUUGGAUCUAGGCUUAUCAUGUUCGGUGGAGAAGAUAACAGUAGGAGGCUGUUGAAUGACCUUAAUAUUCUGAACUUGAAGACCAUGACUUGGGACUUAGCAGAAACCAAGUAAGGUUUAGUUGUUAAAACUUGUUCUAGCAACAGUUACGCUAGGGAAGGUUUCUAAGUUCCAGGAAGAUCUCUUAAGUUCCAUAUUUCCUAGUAAUUGCACAGGAAAGCAGCUCCAGCACCCAGAUUUGAUCACACAGCUGCAAUGCUUGGGAACCAAUAUCUUCUAACAUUUGGCGGUUCAUCUUAUUCUACUUGUUUCAAUGAUCUGCACAUACUUGACUUGCAAACUGUAAGUCGAAAUUUGUAUUCAUCCUUUUGUUCUAUGUCAUUCCAUAUACGCGAUUACUAAGCAACAGGUUGUGGCUGCUUGCAUUGUAAAUCAAAAUAUGAUAUAUCAAAGUUCAAGACCUUUCAUGAACUUAGAACUAGCUAAUCAAUUUUGUGAGAUCUUAUAGAAGAAUGAUGUUUCUAGGCUUUUCAGUUCUUAAGUUGAGCUUAAUCUCUUCUACAAAUGUUGGAGCUCUUUUCUUUUUCCCUUUAUCUUUUUUGUUUUCUUGAAAUGUUUGUUUCCUAUUUAUUAAUACUUAAUUGCAUUACAGAUGGAGUGGUCUCAACUAGAAAGUCAGGGUGCAUAUGUGACUCCCAGGGGUGGUCAUGCUAGCACCAUAAUUGAUGAGAAAUGGUACAUAGUUGGUGGUGGAGACAACAGAAGUGGUAAUUAUGUUUGCUAAUCAGUCUCACUAGUAGCAGUGAUGAGUUUGUUAUUCAGUUUUUCUGUUGGUUAUAGUAUCUUGUAAAAUUCUAACAAAAAGAAACUUUUCACAGGUGCUAUUGAGACCGUUGUUUUGAACACCUCCAAGUUUGUGUGGUCAGUGGCCACGAGCGUAAUGGAACGACAUCCACUUGCUAGCGAGGUUCCUAAUGUAGCCUUCUGAAUUAAUUAAGAGUGAACUUUGUAGUUACAUAAAUUGUUUGUUCACUAAAAGAAAACAUUGAAGAAAUAUAGUAUGCCAAUAUCUACAUUUUUUUUCAGCUUAAUUUCAGUUCAUUAAUCUUCCUUCUAUGAACAUAUUGCUAGUGAAAAUGUGUGCAUUCGCUCAAAUUUAUUAUUCUGAACUAAUCAUAUGCGACUGUUCAAUUGGACGAAAGAAUUUACUUUAUAAAAGCAGCAAUUCAUGUUAUGAUCAGCACCACAGUACAAAUUGCAUCAAAAGUAAACUUGUUUUUAGUAUAGAUAUCUGUGUAACUUUAUUUCAUCAGUUCUUUAAGUUGGUUGAUGUUGAUUCGUAUUUCAAGUAUCUUCAUGGAUUUUUGUUGUUUAACAGGGCCUCGCCCUUUGCUCAACUAUCGUAGAUGGAGAAAAGAUUUUGAUGGCCUUUGGUGGUUACAAUGGGAAGUACAGCAAUGAGGUAUGGAUAGCACAAAAAUUGCACUGUCUAAAUAGUGUCUCUAUAUUUAAUUUGUUUUGUUCUGUUUUCUACCACAAUAAUAAUGAAACAUUUUCCUGCAGCUUUUUGUCAUGAAACCAAAGCCAAUAAACUCAUUGCAACCUCGGCUUCUUCAAUCACCAGCUGCAGCUGCUGUAUCAGCUUCUGUCACUGCUGCGUAUGCUGUAAAUACAGCUGCUGACAAAAGCAUUGAGAUUAAGCAUCCAGAUGAAUCAAAUAUGAGGGGAGUUCAAUUCGAGAAAACUCUCAACAUUGAAAUCAAAAUUGAUGCACUAAAUGCAGAAAAGAAGAUUCUAGUGUCUAGAAUUGAAGAUGCAAGAGAUGAAAAAUUGAGACUAAAGUACAAUCUCGAAGAGAUGAACAAUUCAUAUGACGAAUUGGUAAAGGUAAGUAUUCAUCCUGGAACAGAUAUUUGUUGAUUAUUGAAGCUUCUGAUUGUUUUUGUAUUGCUAUUGAUCUAGGAACUUCAAUCAGUGCGAGGGCAACUGGCUGCUGAGAGUGCAAGAUGUACCAAACUAGAGGUUCUGGACUCUGUUCUUUUUCAGGGUGGGGGGGGGGGUGUUUGGCUAAUUUGGGGCCUCUUGAAUUUUAUAGGCUAAUUUUUAAAUUUUUGUAUUCAAUUUGUGCAGGCACAAAUUGCACCAGCCAAGAAAAGGUUGGAGUCACUUAGUUCCCUCGAGCAGGAGCUUGAAGCCCUACGGCGUGAAAAAUCUCAAGUAGAAGAAGAAAUAGCUGUUGCUCAGAGGCAAAGGUCUGGAGGUAUUUGGCAAUGGCUGACGGGAGCAGAAAACAACCUUGAAGAGUAGACACUAGAUAGUAAGUUAAUAUUUCUGUACUUUGCCCAUGCGCUAUUUUUUUGGUCAUUGAUGCUGCUGAAACCUUCUAAUUAUCUGGUUCCCUGUUUCCCCUGCAUUUUUCUGAAAUUGAGGGCCACAAUGCAGGAAACUCCUUCAAUAAUUAUCAUGACUUUCGCUUUGUUCUCUCAAAAAAAUUGUUUUCACAUUAGCUCCAUAAAAUUCUGAAACCUUCUUUUGCCCUAUUAAUAUAUGAGGAAAGUGAUAGAUUUUACCUAAUGGAACAGUAACAGGGAGGCAAAGUAAUGAAACCUGCUACUUUAAAAGGGUAAUAUAUAGGUUUCAAAAUCUCAGGGGGCAAAGUUGAAGUAUUAUAGUGGGUUUCCUGCAAUUAAACAAUCAAAUUAUGUAUUUUUCUUGUCCACUUGAUUACAUAGAACGGUCUUGUGACCAGUACAUUCUAGGAGUAAAGAACUAAAGCCAGGAAGUAAUUUGUUCUUCCAUUCCUAUAUCUCUUGCAAUAAAUAAAAGUUGAGCAGUCAUGGGGAUGACAUAGUGGAUACCAGCCUAACAUCCAUUUGCAAGACAAUGAUACUCUGAUUUCUGUAUAAUUAUCAACUGAAGCACUAACUCCAUGACAUUUUGACCCAUAGGACAAUGGUAUGAUUUAUCUCUUGAGUAUUAUAUUUAACAUCAGGCACAUACUGCUGCUGCUGGAGGGACUUGUAUGAAGAAGGAAGAUGCUACAAUUUCGAAGUGAUGGCCUGUUGGUUUUGAGCCACCAAUUGCUUCCUUAAUAUCUUUCCGGCUGCUGACCUUGGGAUACUUUCUAUGAAGGCAACCUUUCUGAUCUUCUUAUAGGGAGCCACCUGAUACGUAUUCCAGAACACAAUGGAUAAGAUAUUUAGUUAUUGGCAAAAUAUAUUUAUAACAAUUUAUAGAUAUACACCAAAUUGAGGGAUAAGGAAAAGAAUAAGUGUUUAUUCAUUGUCUGCAAUAAUAUGAUUCUCAGUUCAUACAGAUUUUUGUAUACUGAUUUAUAGGCUACUGUGAGAAAAAACUGUUGUGUAUUCAAAAUUAUUCUCUUCUUCAAAAAGCUCAACCAUCGAAUUAGUUGCUUCUUUUUUCCUAGAAUAAAAUGUGAGUAGUAGUUGGUGCAAGAAUGGAGAAGAACCUGAGAAGCAAUGAAUUGAAUGACUCCAUCGGUUGUAAGUCCACUUUGAGGUGAUUUGACCACAUAAGCCAUAGGUACUUGCCCUGUUUCCUCAUCUUCCAGCCUAUAUAUUUUUCGUCAAAUAAUGAAGAAAUUUACUGUUUAUUUUUGUUGAUUACUUUUGUGAUGAUUAUAUACUGCUGCGAAGAUAGGAGGAGAAACUCACGGGACUACUGCAGCGUCAACUAUAUGAGUAUGUGUGAGCAACAGGGCUUCCAACUCUGCAGGAGCAACCUGUAAGCAGCUCAAAAAGAUCUCAAUUAAUAAAUCUAUCGGCCUAAACCCUCCUUAUUUGUCGAAUAUUUACUGCACGUGUGGAUUAAAAUUUUGUGGUGGCAGAAAACUAGUAGUUUAGGAUUUAUUGAAAUAGUCGCUAUUGCUUCUCGAAUAGCUCUACUUUCUUGGAGGUAAAAUGUUUUGAUAGUCCCUAUAAACAAUUCAAUUACUGCAAGCUAGUCCCUACACUUCUUUAAAUGGUCAUGAACUAAUCAGCAGCGUGUGUGUAAGGUGAGGAACUAAAUGUUCACGUACCGAGACUAGUUUGGGACGUUUCCCUAGGCUGGUAAAACAACAACAAACUUGUCGUGCGCACCUGGUAACCGUUGUGCUUGAUGAGCUCCUUUAGCCGAUCUACGACGUACAAGUACCCAUCCUGGUCGACGUACACCAGAUCCCCCGUCCUCAGCCACCCGUCUCCGACCAGAGCCUCCGCCGUGGCCUCCUCGUUCCCCAGGUAUCCCUUCAUCACGGUGGGCCCCCUCAGCCACAGCUCCCCCCUCAUCCCAGGUCCCAGCUCCUCUGCCGCAGGCCCUACCACCUUUGCUUCCAUCCCCGGCAGCAGCCUCCCCACCGCUCCUGCUUUCGCUGCCACUGCAAAUGUAGCAGCCCCGCCGCUCUCCGUCAGCCCGUACCCCUCCCUCAACUCCACCCAAGGAAACUUCCUCCGGAACUCCCUCCCCGCUGCCGCACCCAGUGCCGCUGCACCCGUCCCCACCCUCCUCAGCCCCGACAUGUCGUACCCUGAUCCACUGCCACUGUAUCGGGCUAUUGCCGACACCACAGGCGGCACUGCAGGGAUGUUGGUCACCCCGUGUGCUGCCACCGCUGCCAUCGCUGCCCCAAGCUCGAACCGCGGCAUCACUACAGUGGUCGCCCCUGCCGCUGGCAGCCCUAGCGCAAAGAAUGCCAGGCCAUAUAUGUGGGACAUCGGGACGAAUCCCAGGUACACAUCAACACUGUCCCUCGCCGGCACGCUUGCCUCCGCCACCCAUCGCACCAUGGCAGUGAUCGCGAUGAGGUUGCCGUGCGUCAGCACCACCCCUUUGCUCGGUCCUGUCGUCCCCGACGAGUAGAGCACUGCCGCCACAUCGGAUUGGGCAGUCUCUGGAUGCGGGGCUGCCAUUGGGUCGCCAUCCUCCAUAAGCUCCUCCGCCGAGAGGGGCCCGUCGGAGUCUGGGGAGCGGGUGGUGAGGAGGAUGGGGAUGUCAGCAGCGGCGGCCUUGUGGGCCUCCUCCGGUGCCACGAUGGCAAACACGGCGCCGGAGUCACGGGCCUGGCGAGCGACCUCGGCGGCGGUGUUGAGGGGAUUGGCGGUGGUGAUGACCGCGCCAGCAGCAAGGACGCCGAGGAUGAUGGCAGGAUAAAGCACUGAGUUGGGAGAUAGAACAAGGACGACGUCGCCACGGCGGAGACCGAGGCCAUGGUGGAGGGCGGCAGCGAGGGAGAGGGCAGAGCAGCGGACAUGAGAGAAGGUGAGACAGCGUCCGGUGACAGAGUCGAUGAAGGCAGGCUUAUCGUCAGCGAUGCCGGGAGAGGGGAAGAGGGAGAGGACGAAGGUGGCGGCAUCGAGGGCAAGGUCAGCGGGGAUCCGGUGGCGGGGGCCGAGUCGGUGGAGGGAGCGGUAGAUGCUGGAGCGGCGGCAGAAGCCGCUCCGGGGGUCGUAGUCGGCGUCGUAGACCGGAUUGGAUUCUUCUUCGAAGGAUUCGAUGGAAGCCAUUGUCUGCGAGAAGGGCAGGAGAUGAGGCGGGGGUUUUAACGAAGUUUUAAAAUGGGCGGGGGCGGAGUUGGCAGGGUCGGGGAUGGCUUUGGAGAGUCCGUUUGGCAAGUUGUCGGAUAUAGAGAUUUGUCGUUAGUAGGUUGGCGGGUAGUCGCUAAGAUGUUUAAUUGAAGGGCCGCCCCGUGCGUGCGAUGCCUCACACCAUCGCGUGCUUCGUGUUUUUUUAAGUAGACUAGCAGGUAAAUUCGCUGCAUAAGUUGCAUGGCCUGCAGCAUAUUCUGUCCAUCGAGAUGGCUUGGCAGUCUUAUCUUUGCUAGUGCAGCCUUUCUCCGAGCUAGAUUGAUGAUCAAAAGUUCGUGAGAAGAAUUUGCUUGCCUAGCUGACACAUGACUUGACCAGUUAAUCAUUUCGCUCAAAAUUUUGAUCAUGCGUAAUCACGGAACUAAAAACAUCUCCGAUUAGCUAAAACUAAAGGUUCAAAAGUAGAUUGCGACGAAAUUAUUAUUUAAGCGGUGAAUUUCAACAUUUUAAGAAAAAUAUUUGGAACUUGAUUGUUUCCCGGUCUCCAGAAGUUAGUGGCUGUAGAUUCACUUUUAGGCUCGAGUAGAAAACCCAAGUUUGGGAUUAAGCCUCUGAGGCCUGAGAUUGUAAAGAGGGGUGGCGACGUGACUCCAAAAUUGUUGUUGCCAUAAUGCUAUGCUUAAUUGCAGGAGCGCUCCUUAAGCGGAGAGCUUGAUCUUGAUCUGGACCGUUCAUCAAUCUAAAACUUCGUGUUUUCCUUUGAUUUGUGCCGAAUUUUGAUUAGAGCUAACGCUUCUAAAAAGCCAAACCGCGUAGGAAUUGUCGUUUCAUGCAAAAGAGAACGGCUUCCUCCCUAAAGCCCCCAUGGCCACCAAUCCCUCCAAGCCCCUCAUUUCAUGAAACUUAUUACUGUGAAUAGCAAAAGCAACACGUACUCUAAACAUAGCAAACACUUAAACAAAUUACCAUUGCAUGGACAACACAUAAAUAGAUCCACAACAUGGAUGCAUGGUUUAACAGAGGCUCAUUUGCUACAUUAACAGCAAUUAUUUCUUCUCCUCCUCCUCCUCCUCCUCCACGAUGGCCGUGCUCUCGUAUUCCUUACUUCCCUUGUUGUCGAUGCUUGUGCUCUUUGUGCUUGGUUCUGGAUUCGGCGAGGCGCAAGGCAUUGUUAAUGCACGCGGGAUUCAUCCCCGCGGCCAAGUUUUGCCUCAUUUUCCCGUCAAACACAAUCACGGCAAGUUCAUGGCCGGUCCGUGGAACUUUGCUCAUGCCACCUUCUAUGGAGGCUCUGAUGGCUCCGAAACAAGAGGUAACAUAACAUGAGCUUAAUUUCUUUCUAAUGAAUUGCAUAGCAAUCACUCUGCGUCUUACAGCGUAGCUAGAAAAUAUAUAUGUACAGGAGGAGCAUGCGGGUAUGAGGACACGGUGAGCCAGGGCUACGGGCUGCAGACGGCGGCGCUGAGCGCGGCGCUGUUUAACAACGCCGAGACAUGCGGUGCGUGCUUCGAGAUCAAGUGCGUCGACGACCAGCAGUGGUGCAAGCCCGGGCAACCUUCGAUCGUCGUGACGGGGACCAACCACUGUCCCCCGAACUACUACCUCCCGAGCGACAACGGCGGCUGGUGCAACCCCCCUCGCACCCACUUCGACCUUGCCAUGCCCGCGUUCCUCCAGAUCGCCGAGUACAAGGCUGGAAUCGUCCCCGUCACCUAUCGCAGGUAACAAAAAUGUCCAUGGAAACUGGAAUGUAUGAGUUAUACAUAUACAUGUACAUGUAAAUAUUUCUUCAAAAAUAUGCGCGCGCGUAUGGUGUUUCAGGGUGCCGUGCAGAAAGGAAGGUGGGAUAAGAUUCACGAUGAAAGGGAACCGCUACUUCAACCUGAUCCUGGUGUGGAACGUGGCCGGGGCCGGGGACGUGCACGCGGUGCUCGUAAAGGGAAACAAGCUAGGGUGGACGGCGAUGACGAGAAACUGGGGCCAGUACUGGCAAACCUCCGAGGACUUGACGGGACAGUCUCUUUCGUUUCGAGUUAUCACCGGCGAUCAUCGGAAGUCCACCUCCUGGCACGUCACGCCGCGGGAUUGGCAGUUCGGACAAACCUACCAGGGCAAGAAUUUCAGAUACUAGCUAGCAGUUUCCAACUUUGCCUGCAGAUUGUCGCACUCGCACUCGCACUCGAUCUCAGCAACUAGGAAUUACUGUAAAAUCCUCAAAAUUUAGCAUUUCAUAGGUUAAUUUGUUUUGUAACUUGGGUGAUGUUGUUUCACUCAAUUAAUUUGUAUGCAAUCGUGUCCCUUCCUGUGCUUAAUUGUGUGCGCGUGUGAAUCCCCUAUCUUACUUACCCUUAUGGGAUGCAUAUAUCAUGCAAGGAAUUUCACACUUCAAAUUGUAGCUAGUGAGUUAGUUUCACAUAACAAAUAAUUUGUAGCAGUGCCAGUGAGUAAACAUUUUAUAGUUGAAAUCCAGCACAUAUCUGAUAUUUGCAAUCUAGCUUAAUUAUCAACUAUAUUUAGUUUUUAAGGCACCCAAAUUAAGCAUUCUCAAUAUGCAAUAUAUACCAAAUUAAAUUUUCUUUUGUAAAACAAAUCUCUUAUUAGUAGUGAGAUACUCCGAGUCUCUGCUUCCAUGUCGGGUCUAUAGACCGGGACCACGAAAAUAAGCUACCCCUCCGUCGCUCCAACCAAUGAGGUUUGGAUCAUCCUGUUGCGCCACGUGUCCUCCUUCGCGUCCUUACACCAACACAUAUAUAUAGUCCCAAUCCGAAGCCAAAACCAACUCCCCUCUCCUUCCCCCUCUCCCUCUCCCUUCGCUCUCACUCCACUCCCCUCUCCCUCUCUUCCUCGCCUCCUCCGCUUCCUCCAUGGCCGUGGCCGAGAUCUCCCCCUCCUCCUACGCUAAAACCCUACACUCCGACCUCUCCUCCAAACCCUCGAACCCUCUCCGCGCUCGCACCUCGCGUUGCCGCUCCGCCGCGCUCCCACCUCGCCCGGCGCCCACAAUCCGCUGCUCCGUAGCUCCCAAGUAAGGAAGGUUCUUUUUUUAAUCAUGUUCUUGCCUUUAACGGCUAAUUUGUGCCUAAUAUCUCGCUAUUUAACUCUAAUUUAGUUUGAUUUUGUGGUGGUGGGUCGCAGCCAAGUGCAAACCCUUGUUUCCCCUGCAGUUCCCACCGGCGCGGCGAGCAAAAGAGAGUGCUUUGGGGUUUUUUGCACCACGUACGAUCUUAAAGCGGUAAAGCCCUAAUCUUUGUGGUUUUUUACUUCUUUUGGAUGAAGGAAAAAACGUUUAAUCGCCAUUAAUUUUAAUUCGUAGUUAACUCAAAAGAUGAUAUCUAAUCUUUUAAUGAGAAGUUGUAGCUUUACUCUCAGUAAAAUUCCUCGAAGUUAGGUUUUUGUCAAUGCUUCAUGGUGUUGGUGGUUAAACAAUCCGGGAUCGAGAUAUUAUGUAGUUCUGUAUGCUGAUAUAGUUGCUUCUGAUUUGGUGUAGGAUGAGAAAACAAAGUCAUGGAAGAGUUUAAUUAACAUUGCAGUAUCUGGUGCAGCUGGAAUGAUAUCUAAUCAUCUACUUUUCAAAGUAAGGAAUACUUUAUAAAACGUUCUUUUCAUUGUUGAUGCCAUCUAGUUCACUAUUUUUUUGCUAUACAUUUUAGCUUCCGUAGCAUUCUGAUCGAUAUGUAAAAAUAUAUCCUCUCUAUGUUAAUAUACAUCAUCCCGUGCAAAGACGAACGGUUUGGGCAGUCUCAAAAUUGAGUUUCAUUUCACAAUUUUACUUGUGAAAGGGAAAAACUUGAUCGAAGAAUGUUUGAUCUUCCCUUUUAUUCCUGUAGCUUGCUUCUGGUGAGGUUUUCGGACCGGAUCAACCAAUAACCUUGAAGUUGUUGGGCUCUGAAAGAUCAUUUCAAGCUCUUGAAGGUAUGUGUUCUUUUCUUUAUGAAAUUAAGCUACUAUUAGGAGAGGAAGUUAGUUGUUAGUCAUGUAAUUCAUUAACCACGCAGGAUCGCGCAGCAAUUCUGGAGGGAUUUUCUUGCAUGAUUUUUCUAACCUUCUUUUCAAAUUACAAAUUCAGGGGUGGCUAUGGAGUUGGAGGACUCUCUUUACCCUUUGUUGAGGGAGGUAAGCAUAGGCAUCAAUCCAUACGAGGUGUUUCAAGACGUCGAAUGGGCACUUCUAAUAGGGGCAAAGCCACGAGGUCCUGGAAUGGAGCGAGCCGGCUUAUUAGAUAUUAAUGGGCAAAUUUUCGCUGAACAGGUGCUUUCUCGAAAUAACACAUCUGCUUAUUUAUAUAAGUAGAAAUUUAACGCAUGAUCUUUAUUUUUAUUCUAAAUUUUAUUUUCUAAUAUGAGCCGAAAUUUCAGGGAAAAGCACUCAAUGCUGUGGCCUCCCGUAACGUCAAAGUUAUAGUUGUGGGGAACCCAUGCAACACAAAGUAUGAACUGUAUAGAAAAACUUAUAAUUCCAUGAAUUUUAACUCUUUUAGGGCAUUUUGUUGUCGUGUCUUAGUUAAAUAUUGCCUUUGCCAAUUCACAACGAAUAUUUUAUGCAGUGCAUUGAUUUGUUUGAAGAAUGCACCAAAUAUACCUGCAAAGAAUUUUCAUGCCUUAACGAGGCUGGACGAAAAUAGAGCCAAAUGCCAGGUAGUUUCUAUCCUUCUUUUUCAUUAUGAUUAGGUUCUGCUGUUUUGCGGACAUACUAAUAGGGGUGAUAAGUGGUCUUAUUUCAUGUGUGAAUUUUCGCAGCUAGCCCUCAAAGCAGGUGUAUUUUAUGAUAGAGUAUCGAACGUGACAAUCUGGGGGAACCACUCAACAACGCAGGUUGCGCUAAUACUAAACUGCUAAAUUUACAUUUCUGUUUUGUUCUAGAUGGAAGUCUCUUUGUAUUGAUCAACAUACAUGUUGAAGGCAAGUGCUGCUUUUUAACUCAAACAGGUUCCUGAUUUUUUAAAUGCCAAAAUCAAUGGCAUUCCUGUUAAAGAAGUUAUCAAAGAUACCAAGUGGUUAGAGAAAGACUUCACUGAAAAUGUUCAAAAGGUACAUGCAUACCACAUUAUCACUACAAGGCAUACUAAUUUUUUUUGGUCAUGUUUUUGCCUGUGGAAGCACAAUAGAAGUCCUUUAUCUUUUUUACAAUGUAAAAUGAUUUUCAACAUACAGCGCGGAGGAGUGCUUAUUCAGAAGUGGGGCAGAUCUUCAGCUGCAUCUACCGCUGUUUCUGUUGUUGAUGCCAUACGGUCCCUGAUUAUUCCCACUCCAGAAGGCGAUUGGUUCUCCUCAGGGGUAAAUUCAUGACAGACAGAUCUUCUUGUAGGUAGUUUUAAUUUUCAAGUUGUUCUAAUUAGAAUACCAGCUUCUGUCUUCUGUCUUGCAUGAGCAUUUGUCAAAUUUUAUAUAUAAAUCACAAAAGUCAUUCCACCUCUAAAAGAGAUUACCUUUAAAAUGCUAAGUUCUUCAUUUACUUUCCUACCAAGCAGUGAAUGCCACUCCAGGAAAGAUAAUUACUCUUAACAUAUGUAGAACCUAUGUUAAUGUGUGAUAUCGUUUCUUAGUGUCACCAAUUGCUAUUAUUAUAUUCUGUAAAAUGCUGACUCCAGAGAAAAAUGACAGGUUUAUACCAACGGAAACCCUUAUGGCAUAGCGGAAGAUAUCGUGUUCAGCAUGCCGUGCAGAUCAGACGUAACUCUUUUCUUUCCUCUUCUUUUAAAUUCCUGAUACUUCUUUCAGCUUUGCACCAAGAAAUAGCAUAUCGUUUUUAUCAGGGAAACGGUGAUUAUGAGCUUGUUAAGGACGUCGUGAUUGAUGAUUACCUCAGAGGACGCAUAAAGAAGGUAGAAUUCAAUUCAAAUAUUCUAGUCGAUAAUUUGUGUGAAAGUCCGUGCAUCAAUUUUAUGUUUCAAUUGUUACAGAGCGAAGCUGAGUUGCUUGCUGAGAAAAGAUGCGUUGCUCAUCUCACCGGAGAGGUAUGUAGUAUCAUACAUCUUAAAUUGUUCAAAAUUAUCUAUUCCAUAGAUACGCAAAAUAGUUUAUGCUAUCGUCAUUUUAACAGGGUAAUGCUUACUGUGAUCUUCCUGAGGACACCAUGCUUCCUGGAGAACAGUAAGAAUAUGGCGAAUAGAACAUUUAGCGGCAGCAAUAUAAGGUCAGAAGAACAGAUCACUCAUCUAGAGAAGCUGCUGCCUCUUAUUAUGCUCUACUUCGUGUUGUACAAUAAAAGGCUUUGGUGCUUCGAUGAUGCAGAUUUUGUGCGAUAAUCGGAUCGUUGUCACGUUUCUUCCCUAUGUGACCUUUCCUUUUAUCAUUUUUAAUUACAAAUGAGGCUUCUGGGCCUCGAUUUGCUUUUGGAGCUUGUUAAGGCGUCAAUGAACUGGGCAAUUGGCAAAAUUGCCAAACAGGCUUUAAUACGAAAUGUGAUAGUAUAUAAGUAUUUAAUGCGUUUGUCCCCGUAAUGCAGAGGCUUUGAUCGGCUCAUAUAGGCUUUGAUUGGCUCAUAUACGCACACUCUUAUAUAUAACAAUAUAUAAAAAUAAUAUUAUAAGGACCUGCGGCGAUACUCAAAUAUGAAUUGGCUACAAGGUUUGACAAAUUGAAGACUUUCUCACAACACGCUCCACAAAUUCUUGUGGAUAUCUAAAUCAAAGGACCAAGUUUUUCCCGUUUUGAUGGGCAUCCAGGCUUGACACGGCAGACGAUUCGAUGCUCAGUUUGGAAGGACAGAAAUAAUUGGAGAAAGUGAAAGAACAAAAAAGAAAAAGAAAAUUAUCCUCCCCCCUGGGAUUCAAUUCUUGGAAAGAACUCCUGGAAUGAGAAGAAGAUCAACAUAGAAAAAGAAAGCGAAAAUAGACUCGAGUCUUUGAUUAUCUGGGAACUUAUAUGUGGAACUGAAGAGACAUAUAUACAUCACAAUAGUCAUCCAUUCGAAAAAUAUGAACAGCAUAAGAUAAUUCUGUACCACAUCUCUUGGCAUAUAAUAAUUUCCAUUAAGUUUCAAUCCAAAAUAGCCAAAUUUCUCAAAAUAGGACAGAGGUAAGCCCAUAAACUCCUGGCCCUAGUUGCAAAAUGCUACUAGAAAAUACGGUAGCACCAUUCAUUACAGAGUUCAAAUGAUGCAGAUGUAGUAAGCUACACAUAGGUUUCCAAGUCACCCUAUUAUUAUAGAUUUAAAGCUCACCUGGCUUAUUAUACAUGCACAUUCCUACAGCACAGCUGACCGAGAGAAUCACGGCCGAGAGAAGGAAAAAGCAGAAGCCACCACGGAGCACCGUCCAUAUGGCGCCACUGUGCAUCUUUGUUCUUGGAUCAAAGCAUAAUGAUUUUCUAGAUGUGGAACAAGACAUGAAGCAGGAGAGGAGGAAACAACCAUCUUCGCUCUUCUCCAGCGACCAGUUCUCUGCGGCGCGGGCCAAUGUUAAUUCGUUCACUUCGAUUACGCCAGCAGAGAUAUGAACGGAGCUAGCUGAGUGGUCCACGGAGAUAGGUCCAAUAGACUUCCCUGGUGCAGUAGGGAAUUCCUCAGCAAACGCGGGGGGUGCUGGGAUUGAGCCCAACAUGCUCGCGAGACGUUUUCCAAUAGAUUUAUUACUUAAUUCGUUCUUUUGAAUAUCUGCACCGUAGAAAUUGAAAAGAAAGUUUUACUUGAAAUACAAAAUACCACCAUGUACAGCCUUGCUACAAUUAUAAACUUAAUCAUACACAUAGCAGGGAAAUCAAUAUUUUCAUAGUAGCAACUACAAACAAAAACUGUACCUGAAGCAACAUUAAGAUCCUUAUUUUAUAAACUUAAUCAUACACAUAGCAAGGAAAUCAAUAUUUUCGUAAGGAGCAACUACAAACAAAAACUGUACCUGAAGCAACAUUAAGAUCCUUAUUUUCUCUGGUCAAUUUAUCAGCCUGCGGUAGCAUAGGAACGCCGGGUAUAACAUAUGAUUGUAGAGCCUUUGGCUUUGAAUCACUAUUAGUACCAUCAUCACCUUCGACCUGUAAUAAAGAAACACAUGCUGUGAACUCAGUUCAUUCGAUCAAGCUCAACAAAUAGCUUCUUGGCCAGACAAAUAAAGCAUACCUCUUGAGUCAUGCUAGAACCUUCUGCAACAUGAGGACCAACAACAUAUUCCGGCUUUUGUACAAAAUCCAGGAUAUCAAGAUUCCAAUUAUCAUCUGCCGCAUCAAAGAAUGCUGCUAGAUCCUCUAGCAUAUCAAUCCCAGAUGAACCAGCAGUGGGUGAAUUAGGAAGUUCAUUCAGUUGGAAUAAGUCAUUCUUUUCCAUUGCUAGAUUGUCACUAGGUGUAUCGUAAAACAUGGUGUUGUAGUCAGUCGGUUCACGAGAAUAACUCUCACUAGCCAGAGGCGGAUUAUUCAGCAUAACACUUGGCUGCAGAGAGUAGUUAUUCUGAUAAGAAAUGCCGUCAGUGGUGUCAAAGAACUCCUCAACAUUGAAUGGUUCUUGCAAAUCGCUUCUGCCAUCUUCUCCGCUCACAGGCUUCUGAUUAUUGAUGUCUGACCGUAAAGGCCAGGCAACCGAGUCAUCACUUGCAAAGUAGUCCAUAUUUCCAUAAUCACUAAAAUCGUUUAAUUCAACGUAACCAUUAUUCUGGCUAGAAGGACUAUGGGACCAAUGUGUGUUAGCAGCAUUCCCUUCCAAUUGGCUAUUGAGUGCUGGGCCGCUUGUAUCUCUAGGUUCAUCAAAAUACGCAGUAAUGUCAUUAAUGAAGCUCGAGUCUUUCAAAAUCUCGUCCAAUGAAAUCUCAGGAUCUUCAGGGUGUUCAGUAUUAUCCAGUACAUUAAGACCAGGGGCUGAGAGAGGAGUAAUCUCGUGUUGACUGUCCAGCUUCUGGUUCUGAAAGUAAUACGCAUUAUUAGUAUAAAUAAACAGUUUUGUCAAAGACAAACACAACUCAAAUAUUUAGUUCAUUCAAAUAUAAAAGAUAUAAAUGAAGGUAAUAAAGAUUGCAGCUGAAAAAUGUGUAAACUCUCAAAAUCAAGAUACACAUAUUGAAGACAUCUACGGGAAAGCAUAGUGGCAUCAUUUAUGAUUGCCUUGAAGUAAUAAAAAUAGCCGUACUAGCCCACAAAGCAAGUAAUGGAGAUAUACAUGAGGAAACACUAAGAAAUUUGCUAAAAGCUAGACACAUUAUAAUAAUCCUGGCAAUGCAAGAACCGCUUUGCGUGCAGCUACCACUCUCCUAAAAUAUUUCAAGGGAUAUUCUAAACAGUUUUAGCCUUCUCUUACAAAAUAAGAUAACAGUUCAUCAUCUUUUAUCCUUAAUAAAAUUCCAACUGCAAAAUACGUCAAAGUUUUUAGCCAUUUUUCACUCUAUUUAUGUUCUAAAAAAUGGAAUGAGUCAUUCCAAUCACAUGUGUAAUGGGAAAAAAUAAAGAUAUUGGAUAAAGAUAAACACCAAAAAUUGUCAGCUGAUUAUUUUCCUGAUAAUAGAACAUCCUAUACCUGAAUAUUACAAGACUAAAGUGCCCUUUAGCCCAGCUUCUGCAACAGCUCCUCUACCACAUAAGCAGAGGCCAAGCAAAUGGAAAAUAAAAUCUUAGAGCUUCUGGCUGGAUUAGGGGCCUAAACCAGCUUCUCGUUCCCAAAAACAGAAGCUCCAUAUCGGAGCUUCUCCUUCUGGCUUUAGCAUGAAGCUGUUGCAAGGAUUAUUAUGAAAAAGUUGUAAUAUCUUCUCGAACAGCUCUUUUGAAACAGCAUUUCGACAGAAGCUCCAGCACCAAAUAGGCACUGAGAGAAAGAAAUGCAAGGAGCUGGCAAAAAAGGAUCAGCUAAAAUAAGAUAAUACGACUUAGGAGCGAAAGACAACAAAAAAAGAAAAACAAUGUUGAAGAGUUUCAGUAUCAAGGGCCUAACCUCUGCAAAGUCAUUCAUCUGAAGGAAUUCAUUCUCCCCAGCAUCAUUAAACUCAUCUUCACCACCAUUUUCCACCAUAAGAGGAAGACCAUCUACCUCUUCGUCCCACUCCUCCUCAACAAAUGGUGCCCCAUACUGAGCCCCAUUCUGUGGGCCUGACCCGCUCUUCUGAAAGAUCCUGCAUACGACGUACGAAUCCUAAAAACACACAAACCCAAAUGAUUAUUAGUAUGACUGUAUGAGUAAUAACAAGAAACGAAACUCAAAAUCAACUUACAAUACUUUAGUUACUCACUCUUUGCAUGAAAGCUAAAAUUAAUCAUAAGGACCUACAAAUCAAAAUGAAAACCAUCGAAUUUUAUCUAAAGCAUAAAAACAGCCUGCGCCCGAUCAUAAAUUUGCAAAGCUAUUUAUGACACAUCAAACAAUGCCCUUACUUGAUAGUUAUGGACAGUUGACUUAGUACUACUUGAUCUCAGCAAAUAGGUUUCAGAAACUUAUAAUUUUUGCCUAUUUAGGUUUUGUAGAUCACAUUCGACGAUUCAGAUUUUGAUUUCAGAGUCUCAAGGAUUGAAAUUCACACGUGUAAAAAGUAUGUCAGUUACAAUCAGGUCAGAGAAUCCCUACACAGAACUAAUAGCUCUAUCGACCAAAUCCAUAAACUCAUGAUAAGCAAAACACCUCCUUUUGAAAUUACUAGAUCCUAUACCUGAGAAAUCCCUGCUUGAGCGAGCUCCUCGCCCUCGAUGCGGUACUCAUGCAUAACCCAAUUAGUUCUCUCGCCGCGCGGCGCUCGACCUGCGUGGAAAACUAGGGUUUUCUUCAUGCCGACGACGCGGGAUCCACGGCGAACCUCGCGGUCCUUCCCGGUGGUCUUCCAAUACCCCUGCGGCGUGGCCCGGUUCGUGCGCGCCUUGUUCGCGUGCUUGCGAUCAAGGGGGCUGAAGAAGUACCACUCCACGUCGCGGCUCCGGAUCCGCGACCUCGUGGGCAGGUCCCAUGGCUCGCACUUGUACAGGUCGACCUCGGCGAUCGCGUCGACGCGGAGGGGCCGCCCCAGGAUCUUCCUCCUAAGGUAGUAGCUCACGAGCUCCUCAUCCGUGGGGUGGAACCGGAACCCGGGCGCAAGGAGCGCCGAGGGAGGCGGCGGAGUCGAGGAUGACGAGGGGCCCCGGGUGUUCAUUCAGGGUUUCGAGAGGCGUCGUUCCAAGGGGAAUCAGAGACGAAAUUUUGGAGAUAGGGAGCUAGGUUUGAUCAAGAGGAUCGAGAACCCUAAUUGUUGGAUUUAGGGUCCAUUUUUCGAUUUGGUGGCGGAGAAGGGGACGAGGGUUUCGCUUUAGAAGAGGAGGAGAGAGACGAAGAAUACGAGGAGAGAGAGAAGACGCUGCGCUUAUUUAUUUAUUUAUUUAUUAUUUUCUAAUUUUUAUUUUUUAAGCGAAAAUUGGACGGACACCAUUCAACUACAGGGAAUUUUCAAACGCUCCCCUUAAUUUUACAUUUUGUACUAAUAUCUCAUUAAUGUUAGAUUUUUCAAUUGUGUCUGAUUCUAAUCAACUUAUUUAAUUAAAUAUCUUUAAUAUUAUUUAAUUAUGUUUUAGCAAAAUAAAAAUAAAAUAAUCAAUAACUGAUACUAAUAUCAUCAAAUUUAGUACAAUUUUUAGCUUAGAAAACUAAAAUUAAUUAGAUUAAAUUAAAAUUAUUAGAUUUGCUAAAAAAAUAAAUUAACAAUUAAUAACUGUUAAUUUUCGACUGAAAAGUGAAAACCCCCUCGAAUAAUAGAGUCGGGAAGGACCAUCUCACAGUUUCCAAUAAUUAAGGGGUCUCGGUACAUUUUCAAUACUAAAUUAAUUAAAUUCUAGUCAAAAAUUUCCCUUACCACUUUACCAGUUCCUUUACUGUACGAGGUUUGAGGAAACUUUCUAUGCGACUGAUAUAUCCACCGUCCGAUGUCCUAAGAUAGAGCGUCUUCAUUGGUCCACACAUGGACGGUUCGGAUGCAUUUUAGAUUUUGACAUCAAAGGUGGAUCUGACAGUCGCAUAGUAACUACCGUGCGAGUGUUUAGAUCGUCUACCACGCUCUUGGAGCCGUGCGGGGAGAUAAUCCACCGUUCAAUCGGUCUCCGUUAAACCUCUACCGCAUAAAAAUAAAUAAAUAGCGUCAAAACUCGUGGUCUAUUGAUGUACUGCACGUGUCCGCAUGCGUAACUCUCCGAAGAGUAUUGAGAAUGGUUUAUAAAAAGUAACAAGCAAUAAAUAAAAAAGUGUUUGGUUUGGCAACAACUACUACUUUGGGGAGUUUGUAUAAUUGUAUACAUAUAAUUAUUUUUAACGAUGGAUUUUUGAAUCGUACAGUUUAAUUUAAAAUAUUUUAAGUAUUUAUUACAUAAAUUUUACAAAUUUUUUAAUAUUAUUUAUUUAGUAAUCAAGAUGACAUAAAAUUAAUGAUUAAAAAUAAAAAUCUCAUUAAAACUUAAUAUAUAAUAUUAAAAUUAUAGAUCAAAUAUAUUAAUCUUAUUUUUAUAUAUAGUAUAAAAUUUUUUUAUGAGAACAGGUGAACUUUCGUGCUUCCAAACGCACUGCAAGUAGGCUCAUAUUAUAUUUGCUAAUACAGAAUAAUAUUUUUGAUUACCUAUAGUCAUACUAUUAAUUAAUUUAUUUAAUUAAUUUUAGAUAAUGUUAUCAAAAAUUUCAACAUCUUUUUAGAAAAAAUAGAGAGAGCUAGAGUAUCAGUUAGAGAGAGAGAGAGCAUAAUUAAAAAAAUAGAAAGAAAAAUAUAGUCGAAAUUAGAGAGAGUGAGAGAGUUGAAAUUUUAGAGAGAAAAAUAAGUUUAGAGAGAGAUAUAAGGUUAGAGUGUAAAGAAAAAUAAUAUUAAUUAGCCGGCAGGUAAAAAGAAAGAAAGAGAUUAGAUAUAUUAUGAUUAUCCCAAUUAAUUAAUAUGAGGAUACCCAUCAUCCCUUAAGGAAAUGAGAUUAGUACUUUGGGGUGAAUCAUAUUUCCAAAUGAAUCCAAUAUUAUCGACUAGAUUACUUAGUGCAUUUAGCCAAACACCGUCAUAUUUUUUUAUUCUCAUUAGAUUACUAGAAAUUUUUAAAAAAUAGCGCGAACCAAACCCGCCCAUAUAGAUAAGUUAUAAGUUAUGUGGUUAUCCAUCUUACACGUAUAAGUUAAUUAAAAUUUUUUAUAUUAUCAACUACAAAAAUUGAUUUUUUUGAGAAAGAACUACAAAAAUUGUAUUAAUGGUAGUUGACCUCUAUAGUAGCAUCCGCACGGUUUGGUCGUUAGGAACUUUCCCGUGAAAGCUGUGUAAUAACAAAAAAGGGCAAAAAAUCUAUGUUCAUAGGAUUUUGAAAAUUCGUUUCCUACCCAUUCUAAGUAGCAACUUCAAAAUUAGUGAUGGCAACGAGCGGAACACGAGCUAGUUAAGACCACGAGUUGACUCAUUAAAGUAUCGAAUCGAAAAAUUCAGCUGGUAUUCGGCUUGUUUAUUAACGAGCUGAACACGUGCCGAACAGAAAGUGGUUCACGAAUAAUAAGUUAAAAAAAUUAUGAAGAAUACGUAUAAAAAAUAAAUUUAUAAAAUUUUUAUUUAUUUGACUUUGAUCUAAUAAUUGAAAUUUUAUAUAUAAAUGAUAUUUUUAUAAUUAAAUCAGAUUUUAUAUUUCGGUUAAGAUAAAAAUCAAAUAAUAUAUAUAUAUAUAUAUAUUCCGAACUAUUAUCGAGUCGAAAAUAAGUCGGGAAACGAGGGAGUUGAUCUCAACUCGUGUUCAACUUAUUUAUUGAAGAAACGAUUUGAUCUCGAGCUACAUCCGAGCAGGCUCGCAAACAACAAAUUU